This 74176-nucleotide long non-coding RNA is filed under the name Fragaria vesca (wild strawberry). Its description in RNAcentral is "long non-coding RNA (FVES_LNC002522)". The record is from RNAcentral. Lineage: Eukaryota; Viridiplantae; Streptophyta; Magnoliopsida; Rosales; Rosaceae.
UUUUUUUUUUUUUUUUUGGGGUUAGGAAGCUAAGUGAAUUUGUGAGCUACAUCAGUCGGAAUAUGCUACUCUUCUAUUACAUUUUCAAUCAACUCUUGAUUCGUAUCAUUUCUUGUUAAUGAAAGCAAAAACAAGUCGUCUGACGAAAGGACUACUUCGUACGAUUGGAAAGGCCUUUAACUUAUCUGUUGAUCAUAUAUUGGUAUAGUCAUCAGCUUAGAUCAAUAGAUCAAUCCUUAAAAUUUACAUGAAGAUCUUUAGGAUUCGAAUAUUUGAGAUACUUUCAACAAGUUAAAAUAAUCUCGAGAAAAUUUAUCCUCCUCUUUUUGGUAUGGUAUAUGCAUGAGUUAAGGUUUUGCGUGAUAGGUGUCUAGACACCUCUCCUUUGUUUAUUCUUGUUUUUCCUUUGAGGACUCUUUCGUGAGCAGGACCUUGUUCUGUAGAGUGGCGAGCUAGAGAUUAUCACAUUGGUUAAUUUGCCCAUUCAAGUUCUAUGCUAUUAAUUUGAGUUAGCUAGUUUCUACUGCUAUUGUCCAUGAAAGAUAAACUUUCUUCAUUACUUAGUAUGUCUAGCUAGAUAUAUAUAGCUUCACGAACUGUUUCGUUUGGACAGAUUUUGUUUAGUUCAUUCAUUUAAUCUAAUUUGGUACCCAAAUGAUUUUUAAAUUGGAUGAAACUUUGCAGGAAUAAUCUACACACUAUGUUCUAGACACUGAACGGUGAAGAUGUGAAAAUGUGAUCUAAAAGUGAGCGUAAUGAGGAGCACCACACUUUAAUUUCAAAGCAGUGUCCCACUCUGGAAGGGAACUUUGUGUGUGUCUAUAUAGUUCUUUUCCAGAACGGUGCCCAGGUUUGAAAUUAAAAUGUGGACCUCUUUAUUUCGCUCACUUUUAUGUCGCAUUUCCACAACUCCACAUUUCAGUGUCUAAACAUUGAUGAUAUGGUGAUCGGUUGGGUAACUUUCAUGCUAUUUCUAUUAAUUAAGUGAUUAGUUAAAAAUUCGAACACCCAUGAAAGUUCCAUGUUAUCUCAAGAACAUAGUCUUCUAUAUAUCUGCAAUGGUCUCCAUGAAAAAUGACGUUUCCACCGUCAGUGCACUAGCUUUAGAUCACAAAACAGAAAUCAACGCCGAUCGUCUUUAAGUAUAUAGGGAUUAUUAACUGUACAGGUGAAAACCCAGUCAUCUGGCGUGUUGUGAGACCAUCGAUCUGGCUAUUAAAAACAAACCUCAGCUUUGUCUUUCUGAUUUUACAUUUUUACUAUGUACUAUCGUUAAUAGUACAAUAGUAUUUAGCUACUACAAUGUAUUUUGCAUAGCUAGAAAGGUUCAUUGUUAAUAGCGUGGAUAACGUAGGGUGAUGCAUAUAUGCCAUCUUAAUUUGCUGCAUUACAUAUUGCACGGUGUAACACGUACACUUUCUCUAAUAAAUUACUUCAUGCAUUUUAAUUUUGUGAGAGAAAGGCUAGUGUACGGAGCUGCUUUCUAAUAUAUAUAUAUAUAUAUAUAUAUAUAUAUAUAUAUCAAUAAAUAAUGAAACUAAUAUGAUAGGGACAUGAUGCAUAAACUCCAUAAGCUCUGCAGUUUUUUGACAUAGAUCGAGUUGGCUUAAGAUUCCGUAUGGGAUGAGUCCGGAUUAAUCCAAUCGGUCAUUAUAUAAAAAAGGUCAAGUCUCUGUGUUCGAUCACUAUCGUUUCGCAUUGAGUUUACUACCCCAUUCUGUAGCCUUGAUAUUGAAACACAGAAGAUUUCCUUCUGUAUACUUCAUCAUGUUCUUGUGUGUAGUAAUCUAGUUAGUAUCAGUAGCAGAAGAUGUCUAAAUCGAAGGUUUCUGUACGUGCAAGAGGAUGAAAAGUGAUCAAGAUGAUUCCCAGUUGCAUUAGGAAAAGUCUUUCUGCCGAAUUCUUUCAGUUUGUAUAUGUGUUCAUGUUAUUAUAAAUUGGUCUUUAUGUUGUUGAUAAUGUAUUGAUGUGUUUUUAGUUGUUGCAUCAUGAUCUUUCAAAUUAUGCCGAACUAACUGCACUACUAAGAGGAUGAUGACAACGCAGGCAUAUAUAUGCAACUAGCCAGCAAAAUAUAAUAUAGCAAAUGAAUUAUAUAUCAUACUGAAGCCAUUAACUAGUUAGUACAAGAAACAAUUAGCAGUAAUCUACGUUAAUUAAUUCUCGUGGUGUAGAUUAAGGACUUUGUUUAAGUCAUGAACGUUAAUUAAUUCUCCUGGUGUAGAUUAACGACUUUGUUUAAGCCAUGAACGUUAAUUAAUUCUCGUGGUGUAGAUUAAGGACUUUGUUUAAGUCAUGAAUGUGAAAGGGACAUGCCCGGACUUGAUAUGAGGCUGAGGAGUCAGCCGACUCAAGGCCCGGAGACGUAAGGGGCCAGUAACAAGUUUUCAUUAUAUCCAGAUCUUACUAACACAGUAAUAGAGCUCAACUUUUGUUAAAUUAAAAGAAAAUACUGACAUGAUGGGCCAUACAAGUUCAACAAAUUAUAUAUAAUUAUAGUAUAUCUUAAAAUCCAUUGAAGUCCAUACGUAAGAAAUUUGUUUUAUAAAUAUGAUUUAUAAUGUAAAAUAUGAUUACUAAAAUAUUAUCCAAAUAGGAUUUCUAGAAUAUUGUAGAUAUAAAAUUACUAAAACAUAGAGAGGUUUGGUAAUCUGUACAUAUAUUCGGAUAUUAUAUGAAUAUUUUCGAAAAUUACGUGUUGUUUGUUGUUUCAAUUGUUGUUAGCUAGUUCCCGAAAAAAUGUUAUAAUAUUAAUGCAUUUCAUAAAAAAAAAAAUUGACAUUAAAUGCAUAUUACGGUUUAAGGGUCCAAUUUUUAGAGUUCGACUCAGAUCUGAAAAUCUCAGGUCCGGACCUGGAAAGGGAUUGAGUCCCAGCAGCUGGUAGCAGCUAAAUCAGAUGUGGAGUACAGCAUGAACACACUAUCUAUCUAUCUGAGACUUAUGAGUGAGAUGGAUCGAGCUUAUACUGUAGUGAGAUUAGUGGGUCGUGCAUGCUUAUUAUUGUUUGUAUGUGCUUUGGUAUUAUAUCCACUCUCCUUUUUGGGACGCUGUAUUUGAAUUUAGAGACCCCCUUCUCGAUCGAUCUGCUUCUCUUACGCCUAUAAAUACCCACAUUCUCUUGCAGUCCUUCAUUCAGGUUGUGGGAUACAAACUCAUCGAGUCUAGGUGUUGAUCGAUCCCAUGGCUCCCAGAAAGAUUGCUAGCGUUGUUUUCCUUGUGAUGCUAAGUGUAGGCAUCUGUUCUGCCACUAGAGUCCUCUUGAGUUUAACUGAAGAUGUUGUGCCUCUUCCACGCCCUAGUAUUCAUGCUGCGGCCAUAGGCCAUGCUGGUGGUGGUGGAGGCGGAGGCGGUGCGGGCGGUGGAGGAGGUGCUGGAGGUGGAGCUGCAGCCGGGGGUUAUGGACAUGGAGGUGGGUCUGGUGAAGGAGGGGGUGCAGGGUACGGUGGUGGUGGAGCUGAGGCAGCCGGGUAUGGUGGAGGUGGAGGAGGAGGUAGCGGUGGAGGUGGAGGAGGCGGUGUAGGUUAUGAGGGUGCAGGGAAGGGUGGCGGUGAAGGGAGUGGUUCUGGAGGUGGUGCAGGUUAUGGUGCUGGAGGAGCAGGCGGAGGUGGACAUGGUGGUGGAGGAGGUGGUGGGAGUGGUGGUGGCGGUGGAGGUGGAGCCGGUGGUGCUGGUGGAGGUUAUGGUGGUGGUUCAGGAUCUGGUGAAGGUUAUGGGGCUGGUGCUGGUGGUUCGGCUGCUGGUGGAGGUGGAGGAGGUGGCUCUGGUGGUGGAGGUGGCGGUGGCUCUGGUGGUGGUGCGGGUGCACACGGUGGUGGUGCCGGCUAUGGAGGUGGUGCUGGGAGCGGUGAGGGUGGUGGUCAUGGUGGCUAUGCGCCUUGAGUCCACCUUCCUCAGGGUCUCUAUGGAUCAAACACCUCUUGUUACCAAAAGUAUUAGAAACAAUAAAUUUUAAUGCGGUGAGAAGAGGAUGAUUAUAGUUAUUUACUACGGUGAUGGUUGUAAAAGAACUCAUGCCAAUUUGGCAUGAUUACUGCUCUCCGAGCUGAUUGUAUGAUACAAUUGGACAGUUCAACUGGAUCAAUUGAUUGUUACCAUGCAAUUGUAAUAUAUUGAUGAAGUAUGUAUCCUUUAAUUUAACUGUUUGGCGUGGUUAAUAUAUAUUCCAUGUCUAUGGAUCUCAAUAUAUGCACGAUGAGUCGAUCGCGAUGAACAUAUAUAUAAUCUUGAUAGUUUGAUCGAUGCUUUGUUAUAUGAUAAUUCGUUGAGAAUGUGAAAAUGAAAACAAAUUAAAGCUCUCACUCAUUGAAAGCUAUAAAGUUUCUUAUGAGUAUUGCAGUGAGGCUCAAAAUACUUUAUCACAAGAAUUUUUUUCAUUUGUUUUACGAGUUAUAAAUUUGAUUAUGAGUUUAUGAUAUAUGGUUCAUAAUCAGACGUUUUUUACAUACAUGAACCAAGAUGUUAAAACUUCAUGAUCGAUGUUCACAAAUCAAGAAAAUGACAGAUUAUAAACUAAUUAAAGUUACAUAUAUACCUUGAAGUUGAUAUCCAUGAGAGCAAUAAUAGAACAAAUUAAGCAAUGCACUGAUGGAGAAACUGAUGCAGAAAACUAGAUGUACGUGUCUCCCUUGUCCAAAUAAAUAGUAAAUUUAUUUCAAUAAACUCUGGUUUGCAUUACAAUUUAUAAAUGGAUAAAUUCCAAUAGAAAUCCAACGAUGAAAAGGGGAAAAAAACGAAAGGAAGAAACCGAUCAAUCCCGCACCCAAAACUGCAGAAGCAUAGAUGGAGAGACCAGAUUAUUCUUACAUAACGAAAUCCUUGGUAAAGCACAUUAAGUUGCCAGACUAAUUAAAGGGUAGGUAGUAGAUGAUUUGCAGUAGUUGAUUUGAUAGCCAGACAUUGAAAAACAGUGGCAAAGUCGCUGAUAUAUAUAGCAUUAAUCAUCAGAGUUUAGCCUCCACUCCAUCGAUCUCCAAGCAUUCCUGCUCUCUUUGUUUCUGCAUUUCUAGACAUCGCCUUGCGAUUGCGAUCUAGAGCGGUCUUUUCGAGCACUUUUCGAUUUGUUCAGCAUUCCCUUAACAUGAUCAGCGAUCAUGAAAAGUGGAGUAGAUAACAGAGAAGUUGUUGACUCUGCAACAGUGCUAUCUAUCAUAGUCCUUCCUUUGAUCAUGUCAGCGUCCCCUUCUUCAUUCAUGAUCACCAUGUUGCAUGGGAGUUUCUCAGCGUAGAACUUUCGGUCAGCCUUUUGAUGCCUACAGUUACAUAUAUUCCAUAAUCGAUUAUUGGAGAACAAAUCUCAUGCACAUUGGAAAAUCAAAGCCAUGCAAUGUGCAAAAUAAUAUGCCUACCUAUCAAAGACGACCCAUGUAGCAUGCAGGCUUGUAAUUUCGUCAACAACCAACAGUCUUGAGGGAAAACCCAUGACAACCUUCUUCUGAAGCACAACCUGCAUUAACAUACAACAAAGAUUUGAAUGUCUCUGAACAAGUAAUUUGAUAAGGAUAAUAAGCUUAAAUGAGGACGUAACACAAUAUAUAUAUACCCCAUAGUUUCUACAGAGGUCCACUGCUGCUUGGAGCUUCAGAUAUUUGACAUCGCUCUUCCACUCAGGUUUUUCUUUGACAAUUGAUAGUUCCUCUAAACCCACUGGCCAAACAUCAAGCCAUGUCUUUGAAGACACUACAAAACAACGCCACCUGAUGAGUUAGUCAUUGAAGUCUAGGGCACAUCGAUCAAAAGAGUGAUGCAUGCACUAGAGGAUGAUGCAAAGGCAUUUACUUCUAAGCUAUAAUGUGGUGCAUGUAGGCUUUGAUUUUACGCAUUCACUUACGAGGAAUAUUGAGCCACGGCAUCACACCGAGAAGAAUAACAACCGAGCCAGCCUUGAUGACAUGCUCAAGUGCCCACUCUAGUGGCGCAGUGUUGAACUCUUUCAUGGCGUCCAUGACGAUGAUCACAUGUCUAGCUGUGUUUAUCGAACCCGGUGACUCUUGCAAGAGGAGAUCGUCUAGCAAUGCACUAUUUGUCCUCAAACUCAUCGAUCUUCCCAAUGGUAAUUGGUUAUUAGCUCCUCCUUUGAAGAAAACCACCAUGUUGAAUAAUCAAUCAACCUCCUAACUCUGAGUACUGAUAGCUAGCUAGCUUCUGCAAAUAUGAUAGAUGUAGAGAGAGAACUGUUUAGCAGCCAAAGGGAAUUGUUAUGAUGGUUCUCAUUCCUUAUAUAGUGGAACUAUUGUCUCAUAUGAGAAGUCCAGGUGUUCUGGUCGAUGAUUUCGAAGGUGUACCUUGUAGGUAGUUUGACAAAAACGAAGGAUGUUAUUGGCAAAGUACAUUCAUGCCAAGUUAGAGAAAUUUGUCAAAUUUGAUCUUUCCUAGACUUAAGAUGCUGCUUCCUAAAUCCUAUCUCCAACCAAGAGUCUAAAGAACCAUGAUUACUAAGAAGUUUUGAACUCAUCAACAAAUGAAAUCGACCAAAAAGAAGCUUCCCUCUUUAAAUUACAUGGUGAAGAUACAGCUCAAGUAGUAUAGGCAUGCUAUUCAAACUACGUUUUGUUUUAUGCUGUGAACUCAUUUUGUCCUUUGCUUCAUAUAUACGAGCCCAAACAUUUAUCUUAUCCUUUUUUGGAUCUUAUGUUGAACCCAAGUGAUUAUCUGAAUUGGUCAUUUUGCUAUUUCGAGCUAUAAAAGAAAAGAAAACUCCAAAGCCUUUUAAGUUUUAACUAGUCUAUCAGGUGAGUAGUUUAAGUUUCUUAACAUUGUGAUAUACAACCUCAAAUGAUAACUCAAGGGGAAAGCUAGUACCAAUCGGAAGUUCAGAACAAACAAACUCGGAUGAUGAUGAGUCUAUAAUAGUUAACUGUCAACUUAAUGAGCAUAUCAGGUUAACAGUGCUAUAGGCACUAGUGCAAUUAAACGCUGUUUCCGGAAAUUUGUUGACGAUGCUGUGAAGCAAAAUCACAAGAAUCAGGUGGUUGAAAACUAAAUGAAAUUUUCUUCAUUGAUUAAGAACAACUAUGAAACAUUUCUAUCUGGUAAGCAACCAGAUCAAACAUUUGAAAAUAUUUUAUCUGUACAUUUGUGGCUGAAAAGAUAAACUAAAUUUGACUUGGGGUACCUCCACCACCAGAGGGAGAGUGACCUGAAAACAGCUGCAGAGGGCAUUAGAUAACCCAUACACCUGCACUAGCCAAAACUCAAGACACUCUACAGCAACCACAAGCUUGGAAGAGGUGGAAUAUUACAUGGUCAUGAUCCCCACUCUUUUCCUUUUCUUGUUCAUACCCUCUGGAGGCUCCGCGAUAGCAGCAAGAAGCUGAUUUCUCCUGUCCCUGGGAGCACUUCUUGACUUUGAAAGAUACCUGAUAGCUUCCUUUCUCAUUGGAUUUUCAUCCACGGGAGGAAUAACUUUGCUUGAUCUUCUCUUAUAGAUCACAUUGUCUGCUGACUUCAGAUGAUCUCGUGGAAUACGAUAUUUUGGUUCUAGAUAUUCAAUUUCAACAUAUUAAGUUAGUUCCAUUUCCAGAUUUCAAGUAAUACAAACAAAAUCUUUUGAUUGGAGUGAAUUGGCUUUACCUGGAGUAGACUCAAAAGACAUCCCAUCUACACUUCGAGAUCUGGGUGGUGUCUUAGGAGGGGAACCAGCAACUCUGACUUCAUCAAACGUCAUAUGUACAUCUGUACCACCACGAGAGGAUAUACUGCAUAUAUUCUCAUUAUUAUCAUUGUUGUGUGAAGUUCCAGUAAAACAUUUACUUGCACCAACUGAGGUUGAAGCAGUAACCAUAGGUGUACUAUCAUCAGUCUCCUCAAAACCUGCAGCAUCAUGCUUGGAUCCAUCAAUCUGUUCACAACGUUUAUCAGCCGCAUCUCUGGUGUCAGUAUCAGUAACCAAGACCUCCUGACAUUUUGAUCUGCGGAAGAAAGUAGAAAUUUUCUGGCCAACAUCUCUGGGAGCAUUGGGAGUACACCCCUCAGGAAUAUUCACAGGAAAGAUGUCAUCAACAGGAUCUAGCACUGACUUGGGUGAUGUAUUCAUAAUGUGUAGUUCCGGGCAUGACAUCUGCCCUUCCUUUAAACUUGAAAACCAGGGAGUACCCUGCCUGGCAUAGAACAGAAUGUAUGCCUCUUGUGACAAAACAAAUUCUUCUCGAACCCUAGUAACCUAAAAGAUAAUCAUUAUUCCAGAAAAAAAAAAUUAGAAAAAGGAAAAAAGGAAAAGAGUAUCAACAUAUAGUGUAAAAUUUCUUUUAAUACAUAAAAAGAUACAAAUCUUAUGAAACUCACAAGACAAAUUAAUCAAACACUAUAAAUGCAAUGCAGUAGCCACAGCUGGUUAGAACUUAAAAGAGUGCCCUCUCUGAAAUUCCAACACUAGCCCCCUUGGCAUGAGCCAUUUCAGUUCAAAAAGAGUAAAUCAAUAAAAAGCGUAAAUAAAUUUUAUAAAACAAGAGCAUUCUAAUAAUUGAUGUUUAAGUUUUGUCAGAAUACUUAUGCGACUAGUGCAAUGAAGAGGCUGUUUUGAAUCUUGGGGUUAGUAGAAAGUUUUUAAGUUCUCCAAGGGUAUGGUAUUGUAAUUCAAUAACAGAGAUGUAUUUGAAGGCCAAACAUAAGUUAUCUUGCUGUACAGCAAGGCAGAUCCUAAUGAAUGAAAAUUGAGUCUUGACUUUCAUGCCUUGGUAUUUCCUCUCCUAUAUUCAGUAUAUUGUUCUCUCACUUCUCCCUUAAUUCUCUAUUUCUCUAAUUCCUUUCAAGCUACAGGAUCUAUAAACCAUCCAUUUUUCUCAAUUCAUUACAUUUCUAUUAAAUUUAUCUUUCUAAACCACCAGACACUCACACCAUUCCUUGCUUUGUCCUUCAGAGAGGACAAACAUUACUAUUGAACAACAAUGAGUGAAUUCACUAGCAAUAUAAAAUGACCCAACAUAGACUAUCUAGACAGUAAAAAGUUGUGAUCUAACCGAUUGGUACUGAAUUUCAGGGAAAUAUACAAGUUAUAACCAAGAAAAUAGAACAGAGAAACAAAAGAAGAAAUUCAUCAACAGUAAACAAUCUUUUCCUGACCCAACUUCAAAAGACAUAAAAUUAUUAUAAAUAGCUUAUAACAGGUUAUAUUUAAGACUUGUUACCUUUGAGUCAUCCAACCUAUGCCAUGUAUCUGGAGAGGAACGAAUAAAGCAAAAAUAGUGCCCAGAAGUAGCUGAAAAGCCAACAUGCUCCACAAUUGCAUAAAGUUCAUACUUCAAUUCCACCUAUUGCCAAGACACAUUGAAUGAGAACAUGAAAAAACAGGCAUAAAGAAAUUUAAGCAACGACUAAAACUCAUACAUAACAUUUGUCAAGGCCAUAUCGACUCAUGCAUAAUGAAAACAAUAAGCAUUUCCAAAUAAACUAAAUUUUAUUGUCAUAUGUCAACAAAUCAUGCAGAUACCAAUUUGGUACAAGUAAACUAAGGAGCAACUCACGUCACUGUUAUUGCUACUGGUGUAGGGCUUCAAGUCCAACUCCAAAGGAAAUUCUACAUGUUUGUCAAUCUUCUCCACAUAAUUUCCAUCAGUUUUAAAUCUCUUUAAAUGAAAUGCAGCAACUGGAGGGGCCUCAUCCACCACAAGCUGCUUCUCCACUGACACUUCUUCCUUGCAAUUCUCACAUGUAAACUUUGUCUCCGAGUCAUUUAUCUUCUCUAUCUUAGUGAAGGAUUCAAGAGCCCUAGGAAGAGAGUCAACAUCUUCGAUUUCCAAACUCAGAUCAAUCAGAGGUUCACGAGUGUCAGAACAGUGACCACAGCUACAACAUCGGAGCUGAAAGAAACCAUCGAUACAAAAUCAAUAAAAAGGAUUCACAGAAAGUUGGUUACAGUUAUAAUGAAAAUCAGGUCCUGAGGAGUCAUACUUUGCUAACAAGACUGCCACCAAACACCCUGUUCACAAUGUUUUUAUCUUCGCAAGAUGAAGUCUCAUUGUUUUUCUCAGAAUCCAACCAAGAUCUUUCUAGUUUAUCUAAAAAACAUUGCAAGAACUCAUGGGCAUCUUCUUGCUGGUAUCUUCGGAAAUAAGAUGAGAAAUCUAAGCGAAUCAAGUUAAGAAUCACAGUGCGAUAGCACAUGUACACUUAUCAGGAUAAUAAAAAUAAAAACCUUUCAAUGAAGAAAUCAACAAAUCAAGUAUAUCACAUCAGAUGAAUUGGUGUAAUAAAAACAACCAAUCAGGAUCAAUUCCCUUUGAGAACUUCAGAAGAAAAAAAAAAAGUCAAAUUCGAAUGCAUAGAAAUCUCAGUCCAGAUGAUUAAAGGAUACGGUUCAAAUUAUCAACAAGCUUUGAUGGUGAAAGUGCCCUUCCUGAGGAAACUAUUGAAAGAUCAAUGUGUUCACGGAGAGCACAAAGAACACAGAACCCUUCACUACCACCUGAAUACACCCAAUUUCACAUUAAACCCAGUACAUUAAAUAAGAAAUUAAUACAAGUUUGAAAGCACAUCAAAAACAAGCUAUGGAUCAAACACGAUAGCAGUUAGGUCUUACAAUCACAAGGCAACGGGUGAUUGGAGGAACGCAGACCCUCCACGAGGGGCACAGUAUGCGUAAAGCAUUGCAGAAUCGCAUUGAUAAAGCACGUAUUACCGAGAUUAUAAAGCCCUGCACCCUGCGAAACAAAACCAUACCCAAACUUAACUUCCCAAUAUACUUCAAUGGAAACACCACAGACCACACACAACAAAACACAAUCAAAUGAAAACACAGCAUAUUCCGAAACGAGGGCAUACCACCAUAGAGAUCUUGGAUUCUUCGACCGUAUACGGCUCAGAGUAAGCCACUGACUGCUUGCUAGACUCUGAUGAAGGCCACUGAGACCAAGAAGGCCCCGAAGACUCCGAAUGCGAAUUCGACUCAAAAUUCAGUAAACUGUCAUCAUUGACAGGAGGAGGCGAUGUUGGGUCAUCUUCUUGCAGUUGUUCUAAGCACUGCAACUCAGGAACCGAAGCCCCGUUUUCGGUUUCAAGAACAGGAACCAAAUCCAACUCGCACAUUUCUUCAGAUGGAGAAGACCCAUCAAGGGUUUCUGCAGGAACGCUGUAUUCGUCUUGGGCUUCGGACCCAAUUCGAUCUUGGUCGUCUAAGGCUUCGGGUUGCGAAAACGGUGAAGACCCGUCAAGGGUUUCUGGGAGAAUAGGCAUUGAAUCUGGAGAAGAAGAAGGUGGGUCUUGGGGAUUUGGGAGAAGUGAAUCUGAAAUGGGAAGGGUUUGGGUGUUUUGGCUCCAGAAAUUGGGAGGGAAAUGAAAGAUUGGGAGGAUUUGUGGGGUUUUCAAUUAUUUUGUUUAGGGUUUGAACAGUGCGUUGUGAAAAAAGAGGGAACCGCCAAAUGUUUGUUUUUUGGGAAAUGGUGGGAAAAUUUUCCAAAUUCCCGCGCUUAAAACCAGAAAUACUGUUUCUAUCGUAAACAUUAUAAUAUAUGUGAACGUCUUUGUAAAUACUCAUUAGUUAUGUUCUUAAUAUGUAAAUCAUACUCUUAUAUAAAGGAGCAUAAUGAGAAUGAAAGUGACACUUCUUCCUCCUCCUACAUUUUGUUCUUCUCUUUUCUCUCUAUCUCAUUCUUAAUUUAUAACACGUUAUCAGCAUGUUUUCGCUCAUUCGUUCCAUAAACUCUAUGACGAUCUAUGAGAUAUUGGUGCAACUUUUGUUACUUAUUAUCCAUACUCAUGAUCUAUGAGUUCACUUUUAUUUUGAUUAUAUCUUGUCUAUAUAUAUACUUUGUUUAUAUUACUCAAUUCUAUGUUUACAAUUGCUUAUAUUAGUGAGUCUGAAGUUUUGCUAAUAAUUCUCAAAUAUGAACUUUUUGAGAUUAUGAACCUGAAGUUCAAAUAUUACAGUAGACUUGCAAUUCUAAUUGUUUGCAUAAACCUGAAGUUUUGUGCAUGUACAUGUGAUCCAUUGUUCACAAAAUUCGAACCUGAAAUUUCGAUAUUGAUAUUACUUUCAUUUCAUAUGAACAUGAAGUUCUAAACAACAUAAUUAGAUCCAUGAUGAUCGAUGUGGUCUUAAAAAAGGGUAUGAAAGACAUGUAUCUAACGGUGAAAUAUCCGCUUAAGUUUUGCCAAACAUCGGUUGAUCAGUUACCAAGAGCAUGAUAUGAAUGGACGCUUUUACGCCUUCUAAUAUGGAUCAUGAUAUGGCUAUAGUUAUGGCUUAACCAUUUUCGGCCCAUUGACGCAUACCCUAUAAUUUAGUAGCAAUUUACAAAGCCCUCUUUGAAUGACAAUAAGACCAAAAUUAAUCAUAUUAAUUAGUCUCUUGGGAAAUCUGAGCCAUGAGUGGAUGUCACUUCACCCAAGUUGACAAUGUUUUUGUGGCUAAAUUGAAAUGUUAAAGACAUGAUCAAUGGGGGUGUUCUUAACACCGAUUAAUAUUAAGCCUAUCAUAAUGGUAUUUUGGACACCGAGUUAUUGUGAUUGAUAUGAGUGCCUUAAAUUAAGGUUAUUAUACGAGUGUAUAUGGUUAAUUUGCUUCCCAAUAAGUGCACAUAAAUAUUUUGUAGGUCAUUAAUCUAGCAAUCAAAUGUCAUUGUUCACAAUUAUGUGCACCAUUUACAAGCAUUUAUAUAUACCAAAUUUCACCUAUUAAUAACAUGGAAAUUCAUCGGUUUCUUUAUGCAGUUUUUCCCAUUAACAGCCCAAAACAUCAUCAUUCUUAGCUUUUGAAUUAUAUGUAUAUUAAUUACAUUUUAUUGGUUUCAUUACCUAGCCUGGAUGGAUGUUUCCAUAAUAAGUAGUAGUUUUGGAAUUUUAUGACUAUUGAUAACCUCUAUUUAUUGUUUUAUCAAUUCAGGUCUAGUAAUUGGUUUUUUACAGCCUUUUUGUUGUGGUAUUAGUCUUUCAUGAAACUUAUUGUUUCCAUAAUAUCAGAUUUAUUAAAGGGACUAAGGUAUGUAUUUUCCCAUUUCAUUAUUUGCAUGAAUUUAAUCUAUUCAUUUCACGACAUUCUUCGUUUUAUGAAUUCCGAGAGAAUUACAGUGAACUCCAUAAUUGAGACCUGAAGCCUCUUUAUCCAACUACAGAGGGCCUGAAGUUCCUCACGAGUAUUUUAUGAAUUCCGAGAGAAUUACAGUGAACUCCAUAAUUGAGACCUGAAGCCUCUUUAUCUUACUAUAGAGGGCCUGAAGUUCCUCACGAGUAAUAUGAUAAGUGGGGAGAUGUAGGGUAUCAUAGUAACACCAUGGACAUAAAUGAAGGACAUAAGAGGUGUUCUCCCGUGACCAUGUUUCUCGGUCCUUUGUAGGCUGAGACUUCCUCGCUUUAUACUUGAGUGGAAAGAUUAGAGGUUCUGAUAGAAAAAGGGCACAUAUAUUGUUGUCUUUCCUCUACCGGUUGCAUCUUUUGUGAUGUUGUCCAGAGUAUCUGACCAUUGGCAAGAUGUUUUUGUUAGAAAUCUGACUACCGGCAGUUUUUUCCCGAUCACUCGUCUUAUUGAAAGAUGGUCCUUAUGCAUAUUUAUUAGAAUUGGAGGAAACACGUAGCUAUUUAAGCUCUGCAUGUACCCAUUGCAAAUACACUCAUUGUGCAUGUCAUGAGAAUAUGACUAAUUCGGCCCACAUAUAUUGAAGAAACAAUAUCAUGGUAUGAGAUUAUGAAAUUCAAGUAUGUUUUAUUUUUCUUAACCUUAUUCGGUUUUGUAAUUAAAAUUGAUCGAAACCUGGAGUUUCUUGAUCAAACUAUAUGAGGGCCUGAAGUUCUUUGAAAGUGAUAUUGUCAAAUUAUUGAAAUGAAGUUUCUCAAAACUUAUGUAAUCAACAAGGACCAAAAGCUCCUUAGAGCUAUACAAUAUGGUUUUCUUGUGAUCCACAAUUAUAUGAGAGCAUGAAGCUCCAAUUUAUUUUGAUACAAUGUUAUUGUGAAAUUAGAGGAGAGAAACAAGAUUAUCAUAUUUGUGAAGGUAACUAGACCAGAAAUUCUUGUACUUCUUCACCAAUGGAACUAUAAGUUUCCAUUCUCACAUUUUACUUAUCUUUGUUACUUACCAUUUUAGAGUUUGUUAAUUAUUUUCCUCUUCUAAAUUUUAUUGUUACUCAUACGGGCCAGCAACUUUAUAGCACGAACAUAUGAAUUUCAAAUGUCAUGUUUUUGAACCAGAAGUUCAAAUUACUGAAUUAUAGAACAUAAGAAUUCCAGAUAACGUGUAAAUUAAAAGCUCAAGCCCGAAGCUGAGUAUGUAAAUUAAAUUAGUGAACUUAAAGUUUCAGUUCAGUUAUCUGAAACCUGAAGUUUCAGGCACCAAAUUUAUUUGAACUAGAAGUUCAACAUAUGAAAUCUGAGUACUUGAAGUUCUAACAUUAUAAAUUUGAACUUGAAGAUUUGAUUACACAUAUGAUUGAUGGCUCCGGAAGAACACAUAAUAUCCCCUCUUUACAAGAAGUGGUUUCAAUAUGGUUCCAGAAUAUGUAUUGAGAUCCCACAUCGCCCGAAGGAGGGGAGGAGAUGUGUUGCAAACAUACCUCCCCAUAGUGAGACUUAUUUUGGGUUGGCAACUCAAGCACAAAAUUGUAAAGCGAGCGAGAUCCAAAAUGGACAGUAUCUUGCUAUGUCGCCUAUUACGUGUGUUAAAUUCUACAAUAUAGUGAGACACAUAAUGUCAUGAACCAGAAGUUCAUUUAACCAAAUUAAUUAUUUUGGCAUGACUAGUUACAUCAUAUUUUACCUACAGUGUUGUUUAAAAUCAGUAACAACUUUUGAUGCCUGCUAGCUAACGCUACUCAUAGCAAAUUGUUUAUUUGCUGCAUAUUUUUUUGUUGGUUUGUCACUUUAAUGAGACACUUCUCUUGUUAUGAAAGAGAGAAAGAUUGUUCCUGAAAAACAACAUGAAUUGUUGUGGAAUAUUUACCUAUUGUCUCAUUUUGAGCUUGAGGAAUAUCACAGCUAGUGACUUAAUAAAAACUAUUGAUAACAAAAUUAUAUGCUAGCGGAAGAAGAUUUACUUGGGUAAAAUCCCUGAGACCAACCAUAUUAACAAAAAUAACUUGGCCCCCGUUUGAUUUGUGGGAAGAAUGAGAAUCUAAGUGACAUGGUUCUCCUAACGAGAAUGUCAUUAAAAAGUACACCAUCAGAGGAUGAUAUCUUGGUGAUACAAUUAUACAUCAAUAUGGUUGAUACUCAUGAAUUUAAUAUUUUUUGACCUUAAACUUAGUUUGGGUUUGCCACCAGCCAAUGGACAUCUUCACUCGAAAGGAAGUGAUAUACAUUUAAACGCAUUUUUAUGCAUGGUCAAAAUAAGACAGUGUUCCCGCCGUUAGGGAGAGAGAAAAGACUACUAUCAUUUGAAUAACGGCGUGAAUUUGGAGUGGAAUGUAUCCCCCAGGUCUAAAGUUUUAAGCUCCUGAAAAUGGAAGAUUAUACAUGUCCUAUAAUGUUUUAUGAUAUUAUGAAUAUAGAUCCACAUUCUAGAUAUAAUUCAUAUAUGAGAGACGUUUGUCGUAGAAGUGACAAUAUUUGCCCCAGAAGUGGCAUGGGUACCCAAUAUUAAUAAGCUUAUAAUAGCUAAUGCAUGCAUAUAAGAAUGUGUGAGAUCUAUGAAUGAUGAUCAUCGAUGAAAAUUUACAUAUGGUAGCUACCAAAGACCGUUAAGGACUGUAUGAUGCAAUACCACGUUUCAUUAUGAAUGUCGACAAUGCAUAUUAUUGGCCAAAUUGGAUAGAGGCAAUUCCAAUGAACUGAAUAUAUGAAACAUGAUGAGAUAAUUAGACCUUUAACCCUACAUGAUUCAAAAGGGUAUUAAUCACAGUGAAAAUAAAUCACUAUAUAUGGCACAAUGUCUACAAGACACAUGGGGAUUACAAAUAUCUUUCCUUAUACGUGACAAUUUUAUGUAAGUACAGUGUUACAUAUAGUUAUUGAUAAGAGAUUUACGGCAGUUGUCAUCGUAUAUUAUAAAGAUCUUAAAAGACUUCGCUAAAAGCAAAACCCCAAAAAUACAGCGUCAUCAUAAGCGUAUCGCAUAUCAAAUCCUUAAAUAAUCCACGUACAUGAAUGAUUCAAACGUAAAUCGAUCCAUGAAUACUUGAGAGAGUCUGAAUAUGAGAUUCCUUAUCGCUUAAGGGAAAUGACAUCAUGUGCCUUAUACAUGCAAACACAACUCUCAUUAGUGAGACGUGCAUGUCUUGGGUUGGAACCCAACCCAAGUGCAUGUCUUCCAACCCAAGAAGAAAGCCAUAAGGGGGAGGCCCAAAGGCGAGCAUAUCUAGUUAUGUUGGGCUAUUAAACUAAAGUUAACUCAUGCAAUCGAUAAUCUAAAGCUAGCUCAUAUAUAUUCAUUAUGUUAUAGUUAAUGUGAUCAAAAUUGUCUCAAUGAGUAUUAUGAUUAGACUACAAAAUCGAAUUCGGAUUAUGUUGCUACAUAUUCUAACUUUCGCGAAGUUAUGAAUUGCUUAAAGCUCUUGAAGAGCAUAUACAAGAUGUAUCAAUCAAUAAACGAAGAUAUUGAUAUGAGUGGUUAGAUAUGUCAUGCUAAUCUUCCAAUGGUUUUGAACCAUACAUAAUGUGUUAAUUAGCUUCUACUGCUUAGUUAUUACAUAAUGUAUGAAUUUGAACAUGUGAGGUUGUUUCUAACAUUAUAACAUGAGGUAAGACCUAUUAAAUUGUAUAGCUCUGUUGGUAUUGUCUUCACUUUGCAGGUAUGAAAAUCUUGUGAUGAGCCCCUGUAUGCAAAACGAAUAAGAUCUCACUUCAGUGAUAGACAAAUCAAACUGCUAUUUACUGUACAUGAAGCUUGCAACAAUCAGUGGGAGAAUCUCAUCAGGGGGAGCAUCCAGAAGUAUGCUACCUAGGACAUAUGUGCGUUGCACUUUUUUUCUCCUUCGACCAGGGUUGUUUUUUCCCACAGGGUUUUUAUUAUUUGACAAGGUUUUUAACGAGACAACACUAAGCGCGUCCAACAUCAGAUUAUUAAUGGACAUCCAAGGGGGAGUGUUGUAAAUAUUAUAAUAUAUGUGGAUGUCCUUGUAAAUACUCAUUAGUUAUGUCCUUAAUAUGUAAAUCAUACUCCUAUAUAAAGAAGCCUAAUGAGAAUGAAAGUGACACUUCUUCCUCCUCCUACAUUUUGUUCUUCUCUUUUCUCUCUAUCUCAUUCUUAGUUUAUUAACAGUUUCGUUUUUCUUUUUCUUUUUUAAUGUCCCUUUCUUUCUCAAUAAAAUUUAUUUGUUAGAANNNNNNNNNNNNNNNNNNNNUUUAUUUGUUAGAAGUUAGAAUACAGGCUUAGGUUUUUUUUUUUUUGAUAAACCAUAUUAUGGUUUUCGAUAUGCAAUUAAUAUAAAAAAAAUGUUGUUUAAUGAAUUUUGUGGUGUCACGGGCAUAUAGUGUAAAUUAUAUAUAAAAUUGAUGAGUUUAACGGACAAGAACAUGCUACAAUCAUUUUUUCUUUUCAAGUUGUUCUAUUGAGACUUUAAAAUUUGCUAAACAUGUCUCCAUAAUUUUUUGUAAAAUUUGUAUUUAUGACCCUCUUACAAUUUUCCAAAAAAAAGAAAAAAAAAGAAAAAAGGACUUAAGGAGAGAAGUCCCAACAUAUUAUCUUCACCACUUCCUCACAAACUUUGACUUUGAUUGUCAAAAUGGAAAUGAUGAAAGACAAUAAAAUCACUAGUAGUCAAUAGUAGCAUUAGAGCAACGGCAACUCCAACCUUCAUAUUUUCUGCAUUAUAUGGGAGCACCGAAUCAGGCAUAUCUAAUCCACAUGCUUCAACAGUUCAACUUUAAGUCUUUAACGGAUUCACUAUUUUACAACAAUAUUCAAAAUUGAAAAUUUUAAAUUUUUGGAAACUUAUACAAUCUAUUUUUCAUCACAUAUUACAAUUUUAUGAGUCGAAUUCACAAUCUCCUAUUUAUUAAACUUAUAAAAUCUUGUUUUCUCUUACAUCACAUUCCUUAUUUUAUGUUUUUUAAAUAAUAAUAAAAGAUUUACUUUUCCUUUUUUGAGGAGAAAAGAGUACUCAUUUUUUUGUUAGGAGGAAACUGUUGAAAUUGCUCCGGUGGUGGUUUGAUUAGUUCGAAUUGUAUUAUGCACAUCUUCAACGGCAGUCAGUCAUGCCACAGCGGCACAGCCAUGACUGGCAACUGGGUUUCCAGGACCAGUGGUUCAUAAUUUCAUAUGGAUACCAGUGAUAUGGCAAAGGCAUCACAACCAGACUCGGGGGAUUUAGGAUUUAGGAAUCUAGAGAGUUCUGAUUCUUGAGUAGGCAGUCAUGAAAAAAUAGGAGCUAACAUUUAUGUUUAAAGUUUACAAGAUUAACAUUGCCGAGGAGCAAAUGAUAAUUUGAAGUUUAAACAGAGUUGCCUCGCUCUGUCAACAAAAAGCAGAAAACUUAUGUUUGGUUUUCAAACCGAUAUAAAUCAGAUCUCAAACCAAUACCUGUGCUACAACAUAAGCCACUGUUAAGCCUCGAGAAUUUUCACAAGUCUUAUUUGUCUUUAAAAGAAUUUAACCAACUCUUUACAAUCACCACAUAUAGAUAAGGGAUUGAUACAAAUGAACCCAGAGCAUAUCAAAAUCAGAGGAUUCUGUCUUGAAGAUCUGUCAUCAAAUUGGAUGCCAAGGAGCUAAGCUUCUUCCCGGUCUCUCCUGCAAUAUUUUUUAAAGAAGAGAUAUCCUGCUGGGCCUGGAAAAUGGAGAGGACCCGAGUAUCAAAUACACAAACUACUUUGUCAAAACUCUGACAACUCAGAGCAGAUAAAUAUUCAUUACGAAAGGACUACAAUGAAACAAGAUACGGAACUUUCUUAUUUGGAAGGUGGUUUACCUGAAAAGAUAGACGGUUGAUAAGGUCACUCGCAGUAAGAUCAAGAGGGAUAUCAUCUCCUCUGUCACCGAAAAGGUCAGCACUGGAGAUGGCAGCAGAACCCUGGAAGUAAGAACAAAGUUACAUGUUAUAUCAACUGCAAUGGAAUUACCUCUAAGGAUAUUUCAGCCCAUCUUGUCAAAUACAAUGGUAAUUUGCACUAAACUACAAUGGUAUUUUUCCAGUUGGUUUCAAAAUUCAUUUCUCUAAACCACAGCUAUGGUUUUGUGAGUCGUUUCACAAGUCUAGGAAAUUUGGUAAAUAUAAAUACAAAUACCGCAGGAUACGAAAGGGGCAUCAUAAUAAUCCAAUUAAAUACAAUAUAUUUAGAUAGUAUAUUUAUAAAUCAGAAGAGAUUGUUAACUCAAAUAUGAAUAUAGUAGUUAACUAUAAAUAGUGAUAGUAGUCCAUACAGAGAACUUCUGCAAUGAGGCGUGAGCUUCAACAUCAGCAGAUUUGCUCUGAUCACCGAAAAAUUGUGCGGAAGAAAUAGAUUUUGCAUUUGUAAAUUUCUUCCUUGCCUCGUCAGUUUCCUGAAUCUGAUAAAAAAGAGAAAUUGGAUCUUGUAAAUGAAACAAUUGAAUAACAUUAAUGCACAAUGCAAUCAAGGCUAUCAGAUGACAAAUACCUGUUGCUUCUUUCAGAUACUGUUGUUAACAACAAGCAAAACUAGAUUACAAGCAAAACUAUGAUAGAAUGAUUUUGCCUUAUUUUCAGCGUGUUCACUUUGUGAAUGUAGCACUUGGCUACCUUUUCUUAUUUGUCUACAGAUCGUCCAUUUGUUGCUAUCCUUCUGACUCGAAAUAAACACACACAGUGUCCUUAACAUUAAUAAACAAAUAAAUAAACAUGAGUUUUCAUCUUGGCACAUUUAAAAGCAACAAAUGGACCAACAGUUCUUACCCCACAACUAGACAAUUACAUGCAAAACUAUGUUAAAAUGUUUUUGCUUAUUUUUUCAGAUUCUAUAAACUUCCAACUUUUUUGCUUUGUAAUGUAGCAAUUGGCUACCUUUUCUUCGUCGCAGAAUAAAUCACAGAAAUCCCAUUUAGUUGUUUCCCAUCUCAUUGAUAUAAAAUAAGAAGACAGAGGGACCUUAACAUUACUGAUCAACACAUGAUCCACUAUUCAUCUUGACACAAUUGAAAACAACAAAUGGACCUAACGAGCAAUCUCAACAACCAUAAGAUGCAGAUUAAUCUUGCAAAUUAAAAGAUUUCCAUAAUUAGGCUAGCAGGGGUUGAUGACACAUGAACAUAGCAAGUCUGAAACACCAUUUGAAUUCAUUCAAGGUGAUCGAAUAUUUCAAUUUAUAUCCUAAUAAUAAGUUUUAGGUCAGACCAUUAAGACUAGUAUCAAAACAGGAAAACUUUAGGAGGAUAUUCAAAAAAUGCAAAGAAGAUAUGGAAGACAAAAUUUGAAAUUUUGUACGAUACAAAGUAGACAUAAAAGUUCUUGUUCUCAAAUAUGGUGGAGAUAUUUUCUCAUCUUUGUAAUGCAGCAGCCAUAAGUUGAUUGGAGAAGGAAUAUCAUGUUUGGAAGCCAAGACUAAGCCCAACCCUCUUUGAUCCAAAGGGAAGUCUCCAUGGUAGUUUCAAGGUCUUGUCAGGUUUAUUUUCUGUUUAUGAAGAAUAAUUACGAGUCUAGUGCUUUUAACAGUAUUAAAAUCUGAGUACUCAAAGGACCUGAGUGUGUCUAUGUAAGUCUUCAAGUAUUCAAGUGUCUUAUUCUUAAUAAGUAGUCUUAUGGUGUUCUAGGAGUCUAAGAGUUGUGAUUGAAGCCUAUAGAAUAUGGCUACCUAUUUUAAACCCAAAUCAGAUUGUAAUAAAUUGAAGAUAUAUCUUAUUGAAGGCUUUGGCCUUGAAUUCUCUCCCCUAGCCUCCCACAUUCUAAUUUAACCCUUCUACAUCUAAGAAACCACUGUUUCUUCUAAAACCAUUCUGUUUUCUUAAUAUCUCAACAUUCUCCAGCCCACCAUGUUCAUUCUCUCACCAACUGCUGCUCUCAGCUGCCUUUGACUAGACUAAACGGAAAGCUCAGAAUUUAAUUCUCUAAAACCUUGGUAUCUAGACAUUUAAUUAUGUCAAACUUUGAACCUCGUCUGGAACGUGCAACAUAUAUUUCAUAAAUGCAGAAAUGUAUGUAUCAAAUCCAUAAAGGUCUACAAAUAGAACAAACAACAAUGAUCAACUUUUGCUUGAUAGUAUGCAACUGUCAUUGGUCAAACAGAACUUACUUGCACUUUUGAGGAGUUUGAACUAGUUCUCUUGGGAUAACUGCUAUCCAUUCCAAAAUCCGCAAAGAAAUUUGAUGAUUUGGGUGCAGUAACAUGGCCAGUUACCUGAUGCCCAUUAGAGUUCAUAUCAGUUGUUUGCAGAACUUCUACAUACUCAAAUCGAGAAGCCAGGGGUGUGACAGCUGGUGCGUUGCUCUUGGUUGAGGAAGCUACUGGGAUAACUGGUUCUUCAGGUUUCUGAUCAUACAGACUUUCAUUUGGCUGCAUUAAUUAAAUUUAUCUUGCUAUUAGAAAGGCAUAAUUAAUAAAAUAAAAAAAUUAAAACAAACAACUCAUAAACAUAUCUAACAUAUAGUUGUGGAUAUAAGUUCAUUAUAAGUUAGCAAUCAGAACCUUUGUAGUAAGUUUGCGGGCACCAAGUCCCCCAGUUUUCCCAAUUUUCUUAGCACCGAGGGGCUUCUUGACGGUACUGGUCACAAAUACAUGGGGGGCUUUAGGGGAAGCAGAAACUUCAGGUGUUUCUUGCUUUGCUAUGGGUUUUUCUUUCAUUGCUUCACUGGUCUUGACAUCAGGAAGCCCAUUAGAUGCUUGUCCUGACUGAGAUGCAACAGGUGAUGAUGGAAGACCUGCGUCUUCUACCAUACUUUUUGCUACUUCUUUAGAGAGUAUCUGCCUAUAUAACUCGGCAGCUCGAGAUGUAUAUUUGGCCUCAAUUUUGCCUCCAUCUGUCCAUCCAUGUUGUUUAAAGAAAACCUGUGCACGAUUAUUCCCCCCAAAGGUCAUUGUUCUCAGCUGUUCUGGAGUCCAUGAAUCUAAAUUCGUAGAUCUGAAACAGUAAAAUAAAUUCAUCGUGAGACAAAGCUUGCCUUUAAUUUCUAUUGUACUUUCAUAUCCAACUAGAAUUAGAGCAUGAAGACACAAGCUAUACAUCAAAACAUAUAUUUCUUCUAAAUUACAGUAUUUCUGUUGGAAUAAUACCAUAGUCUGACACUCUAAUUAUAGGCCAAAGUCCAUCAGUUGAACAUUGUACACAAAACUUGACUCACACUAUCAUAUUAACCGGCAAAGCUAAUUAAUCUUAUACCACAAGAAAUUUCCAAUGUAAUCAUUUGUAUGGCUGUCAUGAACCAAAAGGAAAAAUACAAUAGAUGGCUUCGAUAGAUAAUAUACAUCCAAACAGAGCGUAGAAUGGUAAUUCUCUGUGUUCAAGACAUGAAGCGCAUUUCUUGAGAAACUCAUUCGAACUAAUUGGUAAACUAACAACCAAUAUAAGCACAAGUCAAUUAAAAAUACUUCUAUUGAGCCAGCAUAGCAAUGAUUUUGAAUUAAAAACUAACAGGUUCCUUACACUUAUCUUUGUGUUGUGUCCACAACUUACAAUUUACUUAGGAGUCCCAACAAAGAUCUGGGCAAUACACACAUCAUCAAUUAUAACGCUUUUCCUUGAAAUCAACAAAUGUAAAGGUCUUUCAAAGCACGACUGGUCAAAGUAGCUCAUGAAUUACCAAACAAUAAAGCACAAAUCAAUAAGAAAAACUGCAAAGUAAUAUCAAGAAUAGCAUUUUUAAUUAACAUAACUAUCCUUAUAUUUAUGUUUUUGAGUGUAUCAACAAGCCUACAACCUAUCAUCUACCUCAGCAGUCGCAAUGAACAUGAGAACAGAGGUACCAAUUAGAUUUCACACAUUAACUAGGGUCAAGGUAUAUGCCAUACACUUUCCACCUCGGAAUAACACCAACGAGCCCCAACAAAACAAAAAUUACAAAAGCGGUCAUAAUUCCUAUACUCCUACUCAAUUCCAUCAAACACCCCUCUAAUGAUCAAAAUCCCUUUUUUUUCUUUCUUUCUUUUAGUCCAAAACGUUCAAGUUCUCAGAUUUAAUCAAUAAAACAAAAUCACUUGCUUAGAUCCCCAACACUACAAGCACGUUGCCCAUCACCUCAUCUUCAAUCUCAUGUCAUUCAAAAAAAAAUUUAAGAUCUUGCAACAUAAACCAGCUAACAGCAUUCUCAAUAAGCACCAAUAGUAACACCAAUGCAAUCACAUGCGCCCUGACGAAUUAAACAUUUAGAAACUAAGCAUCAUUGAUCCCAUAUGAAACUCACCUAACAAAGCUGAUGUGAACGCCGAGACUGCGAUGCACGGCCGAGCAAUCGAUGCAGAGGAAGAUCCCAUAUGUAACCGAAGCCCAAGUUGGGUUCUUUGCGUUACAAUCGAAGCACAUCUGAACAAAACCCAUCAAACCCAAUUAAGAUCCGCAUCGAACCACAUCUGGGUCGGUGAGAUCUGAUUAAGAUCUCACAUACCCAGAUCGAAUUUCGCUGCACAAUCACAAACCCAACCAAAAAACAACAAAAAACACAUACCUUGUUCUCCGACUUGGAUUUCAGCUUCUUGAAUACAGCAUUCUUGUCAUUGAAAAUCUCGGACGCCAUUGCAGAGAAUCUAAUUCCAACAGGAGGGGGCUGAAUCAAAUUGAAUCCGAAGAGGUGCUUCGAACGAACACCUCCUCAGGCAAAAGAGAGAAAGAGACGAAGAAGAUCGAGGUGUUUAAGUUACCCAAAGAGAGAGAAGAAGAAAAAAAAUUGAAUUCCCAAAUCGAAUUUUUAGGUUUUGGGAUUUUCAAACGAAGGCUUUUUAUUACCAGAGGUGUCAGGGUCAGGGACGGAGAGGGGUCGAGUGGAAAGACGGAUAUGCCCUUGGGGUUUGGGGAGUAUUCCUGGUGUUUGGUGGGUUGUUAUUGUCUAAUUGUCUCUGGCUUUGUGGUGGCGAGUGGCGGUUAUUACCAACCGCUAACGGCUGGGAGUCUAUGAUGGGGUCAAGCUCCACCAUCAGUUCAGUUGCUUAUUUGUUCCGGCUUCAAGUUUCUUAUUUUUGGGACAAAUUCUUGAAGCUUAAUUUAGAUGGGUCACAAAAAGUGAAAGUAUAAGUUAAGGUAGAAGCAUUCGCAUGUUUGAAGCUGAUGCAUGUGCCAAUGAACAAUUUAACAAAAGAAGUCCAAAAAAAAAAAAAUAUUGUAGCUUGCUUAGAUAAGAACAAAGACUACAAAAUAAAGUCACAAUGAACUUUAUCUCUCCGUUUGUCAAAUGAAACGGUGGGGAGACCGUAAGGGGAAGACAAUUAAACCAUAUAGAUCAAUAGAGCAGGGUGAGCAUGAACAAAAUUAGCGAGCUUGUCCGCCAUAAAAUUAGCCUCAUGGUAUGUAUGCCUAAACAUGAUAGACUAAAACUGGAGGCCAGUGCGGAGAUGUCCUUGGCGAGCAUCUUAAUCCUCCAUGGUGUCAUCGUCCUCUUGUUGAGGCAAUCUAUUAGAGUAUCCUUAAACAACUACAUGCCUGAAUUGGUUCAAUUAGUCUUUGAGUGCAAUUAGUCUUUCACUUAUUUCAUACGAAGAUGAUACUGGUCAUCCAUAUGAGGAGGCCCAACUCAAUUAUACCCAUAGUUUUCUCUCACAUAGGGCUAGAGAAACUUCGGUUAAUUGAGCCGUGGAGGCUAGGGCAGGCCUGCUAAUUAAAUUGGUACCUAGUUUGGAAUUUAGUCAUUUACAAUCGCAUAAACCCUUGUUGACGUACAGGAGCUCAAGAACCCUAUAUAUGGCAGUAGUAAAGUAGUAAUGAAACUCAAAGAAAAGAAAUUGAUUACUGGAUUACAUACUUGUUCAUUCUUUUUUAUUUACCUAGCUACCAGCUGCAGUACAUGCAGUUGACAUUCAUAAAAGAUCAUCAGUUCAUCACUAUAUAUAUAACAAACACAUCGUUCCCCCAAAUAAUAGAAACGAUCCUCCACGACGAUUGGAAAUAAGAAAGCUGGGUAGAUCGAAUUGACAAAUUGAAGAAAGAAGGUAGAAGCAAAACUAAGCAGUCUAAUUUGCCCCGUCUAUAUGUAUGUUUGAUAUGUCUUUUCAUAUAAUUGAGGUCUUAAUCCCACAUUGCAUAUCGUUUAAGCUAGAUGGACAGCAUUAAUUCUGAAAUGGCAAAUUAAGGCUGAAAUGGAAAUUAUGUGAUGGUGAAAGUAACAGUGCAAUAUAUUAUCAGAGGGAGAAAUGAAACACUAAGAACAUAGAGAAGCAUAAUGCCUUAAAAUAUGGAUCGAAGAUCUCGGAGACUAGCUAGCUAGCACUUGAUGGGUGAAACAAGAAACUGUUUGCUAGCUCUAUCUAUUGUUCCAAACCAACAGAGUGAACUAUUUCAAUCCCAUGCGUCCUCCGCAGACUACGACUAUACAGAGCUACAAACCCUCCUACUUGGACAGUACUCUACAAUGUCUCUGUAGUUUGGAAUCUGAUUUCACACGACUCCCACCACAAUGAUUCAUUCAUGUUUAAUUUAGCAAUACAGGUACGUGCUUUAGACUUUUGCGGUGAAACGUGAAAAUGUAUCUUUCAGGUGUGAGUUUUCUUAGAUUUAAUUUGCGGCUUUGCAGUUUUUAAUUUACAUGCCAAUUCCAAUAUAAUUCUCUUCGACAUCAAAAUUUUGGCAAUGUAUUUUUGUCAUCGUAUUUAUCAUGCAUCGACAUUUUAGACUUUUUAGUGUACGAUUUCGACCUCCUUCAAUGUUUUGCAACUAUAAAUGGCCCCAAAUCGAUCUUCGAUUCCUCCACUAGCUUACAUGUUGGUGUCCAUUACUAGCUUGUUCAUACUUGUAUUAUUCUAGUUGACGAUGAAAGUUUGAGGGCAGCAAGGGUUCAUCUUUCUGCAUGUUUUUAUUUUAAUUUGAUAUUAUAAAUAAAAUUAAGAAUUAGAUUCUGGCAUUCUACGUGCUCAACUUAAUUUGAGAAAUCAUGAACACUGGCCUUAAACAAAAAACAUGGACGAAUUAUUUAUUUGGAGUAUGAAAAUAACCAUUAUUAUUCAUAAAAAAGGUAGUCACUGUCAUGUGCACGUUUAAAAUGUAGACUGAGAAAUGUUCAGGAUUCAUGUAUCAGAACCAAGAAUGUCAUAAUCAGUGUCGAUCGGUUUUGUUAGUUUGUCUUCGACUUUAAUCAUGCAUGCUAUAGUAUCUAUCAUAUUACUAUCAGUAAAAUGUUCUAAUUAAGCUAAUGUAACUGCAUGCAUGUCCAAAAACAACAGUUUGAGCAGUGAGCACUAUAUAUAUAAAGUUGCGGCUUUCGAUAAGUCGAUUCCAUCAUACAAUGCCACAUCCAGGACCACCCGGCCAACUCACUAAUCAAAUCAAUAAUCAACUAACUAACCACAUUAGUCUAAUUAAUCAAUCAGAAAAACAUAUUAAACAUGUGCUUCAUGCAACUUUCCAGAUAUAUAUACUCCUACUAAGUCACUGAGACUACUCAGACUAAUACCAGCUGGUACCUUUUCAAUCUUUUUGAUCUAUCUGUGAUUAGAGUAGCUGUACGCGUACCUAAACUGCUCAACAUCAUGAGCAGAAAACAUAUAUAUAUAUAUGCCUCCUUGUAUAUGAUUGCUCGAUCUGCUUCUACUCCGAUCCACACACAUAAUUUGCUGUGUCUUUCUCGUCGGAGUUUUUAGGGUUAGGGUCUCUCACUCCGGCCGUCACAGUUCGGACCACGUGUUUCUUGCUGAGUCUCAUCAAGCUAAGCUCUCGUACCGUCGUACGUACGCGGCGGCAAGCUGCUUGUACCUCUUCGUUCGCGGAGGAACCAUGAGCUAGUGGUUAUUGUGGUCCAUGAAAACAAACAGAUCACUUGAUCGAUUUUUCUUAUUUAGUACAACGUGCAUGCAUGGUGACUGCUGGCUCCGACCACUUCCAGCCAGUGAGAGCUAGCUAGGGUUUUUGAUUGGCCGGUGAUCAUCAUCGUUCAUAAUACUAGCAGAUCGAUCGACAUGGUCCAACUUAACUUCAUUUAUUUAAAAUCAGAUUGCAUUAAAAUAUGCGUAGUGCUAGAGAACCUUAAUGAGGGUCUUAAUAAGGCCUAAGAUUUAUGGUCUUAAUCUUAUGUGACAUGUCAUGUCACGUCACAUAGAUACAUCAUCAAUUUAAUAAAUCAUAUUAUUUCAUUUUUAAGUAAAUAUACAAUCUUAACCUUAAUAAUUAAUGGAUGAUAUAUACUAAUAUGAAAUAUUUUAUUACCCUUUUAAUAUAGAUGCGUAUAUAUAUACCAAAUUUAAUUAAUUUAUUAAUAAUAAUGACCAAGUUAAUAAUCAUACUAAGUUAGGCUUUUAUACCAUAAAUCAAUUUCAUAAAUUUAUUAAAAUUCCCUUCUAUCUUUGUGAAUUAAUCGAAUUUUAGUUCCAUUUUAAUAUUUUAUUUUUACAGUUUAAAAUUAUGAUAUCUAUAUAUAAUUCAUAUUUUGUAUCAAAUUUUUAAAAUAAAAUAAAAAAUAGAAAAAUCUCUAUCGAAUUUCUUUUGGAUGAUUAUGUGUGUGUAUAUAUAUAUAUAUAUAUAACAAAAAUAACCUGGUUAGUAAAUUUUGUUUUUUCUUGGAACAAAUUAUAUAUGUGUAUAUAUAUAUAUUUUUUUUUUUAAGAAUUCGUGUUUUUGAACAAGUAUAUUCUCUGAAAUAUAUGUAUUUUCACACUAUAUGUUACGUUCAAUCUAAGCUGCAUGAUACUGAUGAAAAGAAAAAGAAAAUGCCAGAAAUAUAUAUUUUUUAAUUAUAAAAAAAAGACAAAUCAAUUUUGUUCUCUUAAUAAAAAGACAAAAUAAUCUAGAACCAUUAGAUUUUGAAUGAUAAGAUUAUAUUUUUGUUUAAGAAGGACAUGACAUAAUAUUUUUAAUUUGUGAUGUGUGUAGGUGACAUAACAUGCCACCUAAGAUUAAGGUCAUAAAUCUUAUGUUUUAUUAAGGCCAAUAAUCAUUUUCCUUAAAAUAAAUCGUGGUGAAAGCUACCCAGCUGGUAGGUUCGGUAUUGGAAGAUAAACAUGCAUAAGUUAAUUAGUAGGUAAAAAAGUAUAAUACAUGAGAUCGAUCAUGAGCAUUUCCGUUAUGCAUAAGUUAAUUUUGUAGCUAGUGGGUUAAUAAUAAGUUAGUGGCAUGGGUUAAUAAUACAUGAGAUCGCUCUGGUUUUUGCCAAUUUAUAAGCUAAAGUCAGGGAUUAUACCCCUAUAUAGAAAGGAAAAACAACUAAAUGCUAUAUGGAUACUCAUCAGUCAUCACCAGAAGAAAAAAAGAAAAAAAAAUUAGUGAGUCGGAGGAAAGCCGAAUAAGACAAGGUAGGUACAUUCUCAAAUUAGAAAAUUUCAUCUAAGUCACAUUCUCAACAUUUUCUCUCACACAAGUCCACUCUUAUUUUUUUACCCACAUAAGUCCACUUUUUAGCCCAAAUCCAUUAGAUUUGCUUUACCCUAUACCUAAAAUACCCCCUAUCUCAACUAAAAUCAUCUUCACAUAUUCUUCGUCCGUUUCUUUCAUCAAAGAAACUCUCUCUCUCUCUCUCUCUCUCUCUCUCUCUCUCUCUCUCUCUCUCUCNNNNNNNNNNNNNNNNNNNNNNNNNNNNNNNNNNNNNNNNNNNNNNNNNNNNNNNNNNNNNNNNNNNNNNNNNNNNNNNNNNNNNNNNNNNNNNNNNNNNNNNNNNNNNNNNNNNNNNNNNNNNNNNNNNNNNNNNNNNNNNNNNNNNNNNNNNNNNNNNNNNNNNNNNNNNNNNNNNNNNNNNNNNNNNNNNNNNNNNNNNNNNNNNNNNNNNNNNNNNNNNNNNNNNNNNNNNNNNNNNNNNNNNNNNNNNNNNNNNNNNNNNNNNNNNNNNNNNNNNNNNNNNNNNNNNNNNNNNNNNNNNNNNNNNNNNNNNNNNNNNNNNNNNNNNNNNNNNNNNNNNNNNNNNNNNNNNNNNNNNNNNNNNNNNNNNNNNNNNNNNNNNNNNNNNNNNNNNNNNNNNNNNNNNNNNNNNNNNNNNNNNNNNNNNNNNNNNNNNNNNNNNNNNNNNNNNNNNNNNNNNNNNNNNNNNNNNNNNNNNNNNNNNNNNNNNNNNNNNNNNNNNNNNNNNNNNNNNNNNNNNNNNNNNNNNNNNNNNNNNNNNNNNNNNNNNNNNNNNNNNNNNNNNNNNNNNNNNNNNNNNNNNNNNNNNNNNNNNNNNNNNNNNNNNNNNNNNNNNNNNNNNNNNNNNNNNNNNNNNNNNNNNNNNNNNNNNNNNNNNNNNNNNNNNNNNNNNNNNNNNNNNNNNNNNNNNNNNNNNNNNNNNNNNNNNNNNNNNNNNNNNNNNNNNNNNNNNNNNNNNNNNNNNNNNNNNNNNNNNNNNNNNNNNNNNNNNNNNNNNNNNNNNNNNNNNNNNNNNNNNNNNNNNNNNNNNNNNNNNNNNNNNNNNNNNNNNNNNNNNNNNNNNNNNNNNNNNNNNNNNNNNNNNNNNNNNNNNNNNNNNNNNNNNNNNNNNNNNNNNUGUUCGUCGGAAAUCUCACAGUAGUAGCUUUUGUAGGCGGUGGUAGUAGCUUUUGUAGCUGGUGGUAGUAGCUUUUGUGUUCGUCGAAAACCUCACAGUAGUAGCUUUUGUAAGCGGUGGUAGUAGCUUUUGUAAGCGGUGGUAGUAGCUUUUGUAAGCGGUGGUAGUAGCUUUUGUGGCUGGUAGUAGUAGCUUUUGUAGGCGGUGGUAGUAGCUUUUGUAAUUGGUAGUAGUAGCUUUUAUAACUGGUAGUAGUAAUUUUUGUCAUCAUCGGAGGUCGGCCGGAAACCUCGCCGGAGGUUGGUCGGAAAUCUCGCCGGAGGUCCGCUGAAGACUGUUCCGAAAUGAGAGUGGUUGUUGACUUUUUAUUCUAGUGGCAUUCUUGUAAAUAUAAUGGAGAAAAUCUAAUUUUUUUUGUUGGAUGGCAGUCUGUAAUUAUGUUGAACUUCAAUACUUAAUACAAAACCUUAUUUAGAUUUGGGUGGACUUAUGUGGGUAAAAAUGUUGGGGUGGAUUUAUGUGGGAAAAAAUGUUGGGGUGGAUUUAUGUGGGAAAAAAUGUCUCAAAGUGAACUUAUAUGUAAUUGGUCCUUCUCAAAUUUGGUAGAAUUCGAUCAUCCAGCUUAAAAUGGCGCCCACUGAGGACCCACCGUGUGUUGACUUGUCGUUUUACCACACUACCACCUGCCAAAGCCGCCAAAGCCAAAGUGCCAAACUGUGAAGGCUGUUAAAUAUACGUACAAUAUACAUGCCGACGAUACCGAACCGGUCCAUGCAUGCAUCGAGUCACUGUACGACGUCGUGUAACUCGUUGUCGUGUACGAUUCGCAGAGGCUGCUACAAAACAACGAACCAGAUAAACAACACGAAUUUUUAAAAAACAAAAUACCAUUAAUAUAUAACAGAAAUAAAUAGAAAAAUAUAAUAUAGACAGGCCAUAUCUGAUUGGUUGAGUUGAGGGACUUUAGGUUAUAAUUGCCUUCACGUUCGUUUAGUUCCUGCGACUUUUCCUCAUUUCUCCAUGCUCUGCAUUUGUCUCGAUCAUCCUAAUGGAAGGUCCUACAGUGGUCGAUCAUCUUGGUCAUUUUUGGCCAAGUAAGAACUUGAAGAUGAUACCCCUUUUCAGGAUUUUGACAAUUUUUUUUUUUUUUUAAGUAGAAGGUUUUUGACAUUUGUUCAUGGGAGGCAUGUGAAAUCGAUAUGGCAUUCUUAGAUUGGACCGGUUGCCUCUCAAUAUGCACCGUCAGUUUUAAUUCAUGCAUGUUAUUCAAGAAUUUUGGGAGGUAAUUGAGAACUGAGAAGAGAGUUAAUUAUACGGUGUGUCUUUAUCAGAUCAUAUACGAUUAUAAUUGUAACCAAAGAGAUCAGUACGUGAAUAAUUUCAGAGUAAUAGAUAUCAAAAUCAAUACCUGUUAAUCGACGAGUUACGUGAUCUUUUGAUUGAUGGUGCACGGUGAAACCUGAUGUGAGGUGAGCAAGUAUGUAAUUUUGAUAUCUUUUAUAUGCCAGAAGUGAUUCUGAUGAGGACCACUAAGUUGAAGACUAGUUAAAGACUUCUUCGUUUUACCCAUUUUUUCAUUCGAAUAUUCACAUUUCGACCGUCUAGUUUGUAGAGAUAAUUUACUGUAGAUAUAUAUGAGUAGAUUAUUUUUAUAAAUUUUCAUUCAAAUUGAAAAUCGUUAAAGCAUUCAUAAAUGUGAUUUACCAAUUAUAAACUAGAACUACUCAUGUUUGACAGAUUUUGAUCGUCUACUGAUUUGAUUUAAUUCGAUCCCUUAACGAACACUAAUUUGGCUGAAAAUUUGUAUAAGUAAUCUACUUAUAUAGACCUAAAAACUGAACGAUUGAGAUGAAAAAAUUUAAUUGAAAAAUAGGUGUAAUAAACGAUUAAUGAGAAAGUCCUCGACUUAGUAUUCCUCAUUAGAACUCCUCCAUCUUCGACAAGUUAAAAUGAACAAAAUAAUCUUCAAUUUCAUAUGAGAUUGCUUGGAUGUAUAGCAAGAAGACAACCAUUGUGGCUGACCUGAUGAGUUCGAAGGGUAAAAAGAAGAACACUAGGCCUAAUAGGAAAAUUAAAUUCAUUAAAUGUCAAAAGUUGGUAAAAGUCAUAAACUAAAUUUUUAUAAAAUCUACUUACAAGGCUUCUUUGAUUUUCAACUCUCACUUGAAAUUGCCUAGUACCGUUUGAUCUAAUGAUAUAGUCUCUCAUUAUUAGUGAGAGGUCGUGAAUUCGACUCACAGUAGACUCCUUAUAGUUGCCUUUUUGAAAAGAUUACCGCAUUCGGCUUUGUAUUAAGUAAAAAAAGGCCACGUAAUAAUCAAGCCAUGCAGGGUACCCUAAAGUAACUUAAUAUAAUUUCCAUGUGAUGAAGCAUAAGAGAACAAAGAACCAUUAGAACCCUAGACUUGCUAACAACUAGCUUACUGGGGGUUCAAAAUAACAGAUUAAAAACCUAAAGAAACUAGAUUAAAAACCUACUUAGCUAGGCCCACCAUAAGGCAGACCCAGCCCAUAACGAGGCCCAUAGUCCAACUAAACCCUAGCCCAAUUCCAUCACCAUCUCCCUGUGCUGAGAACGCCGCCGGCCGCCAGAAGAUCACGACAACACGUCAGUCGCCCGCCGCAAAGGCCACCGCCAACAAGCUACCUACCACCUCUAAGAUCUGAUCUUGAAACACUAGACCCGAUCUUAGACGAUCCGACAGCACCCAGACUGCAGCAAAACACCAAGCAACUACCGCAGAUGGCAAACCACCAACCAUGCCCCCCUUGAAUCGUCCAACCGACUCCCAGCCACACAGAGACGAUGACAAAAUAAACCAGAUCAUGGAGCCGACUUCAGAUCUCCGCAAAUCCAAAAACCAAGAGGCCAUGGACAGUCAAUACCCGUCCAACAACCUCAUAGCGACGACGAGAUCAGCCCGCCCGACGCAAAGAGCAGCCGGACGAGAGAGAGGAGAAGAAGAUUUGCUCGAGAGCGGACGACACACGGUGUAGUCUCUCUAGGUUAGAGAGCUAUUUUCUCAGCAUAUUAUUCGUUUAUUUGAUCCAAAAAAACAAAAAAACAAAAAAAACUCACUUGAGAUUAAGUUAUGUUCAGUCACAUGUGUUAUUAUGUUUUUUUUCUUCCUAUAAUUUAAUAUAUAAAAAAAUACAUAUAUAUAUAUAUAUUUAAAAUCUUACAUACGUGUAAUUUAUAUAUUUGAUUGUUACGAUUGGGAUUAUAGGUAGGAUCGGAUGAGAUUAGACUGCUUAUAUAAUAAAAUAAGAGUUGUCUCAUUUUUAGCCAAAACAAAUAUUUCAUUUAAUAGGACCAUGCAGUCCCAAAAACAUCUUCAACGCUUUCUUAUAUAAACACUAAACAUGGAGGGAUUGUCGAAGCCAAUGUAAUACAACGCAUCUCAUUCGGUGUUUUUUUCGCUUCUACCUCUCCCUCACCCUCACCCAAUUCUUUAUCUUCUCCUUAGACUACUCUUGUUCAGGUUUAGCUUUUGGAUGGGUUUUUCUCAAUUCAACAAUGGAUUUGAUAAGAAUUGAUCAAUUUCAUGAUUUGCGCUUCCUCUUUUAAAAUCGUUUGGGUCGCGAUUAAUUUGAUUAAAGAGUACUUUAUUUGGGUUACUUACGAGUGGUACCAGUUUGAGGAUUGCUGUUGGAUCAAGUAUAAAUUGGUUGUUGGUGGACGCCUUAUAUUUUUGCAAAAAAUUGGCUCCGCUGUGCUAGUUCAAUGGAGGUCCAAGAAGAACGAACCUCAAUCCAAAACUCAGGUGAAACAAAGAUGGUAAUAGACAUGCCCUCACAUUUGCUUCUAUAGUCUUGAGAAGUGAGGGGCGUUCUCAUGAGGGGAAUGAAGGGUGAGAUAUAACUGGAAUGGUGAGGUGUAAUGCGGCUGUUCAGAAUGUGCUUGUAUACACACAUCAAUGUGGCGUGUUGGGACUGCACCCCAAAGUAACGGUCCGUCUUAUUAAUAUUAUUGUUCCGACGUUCUUGGGUUUGCAGGUUGAUGGUGUAUAGUCAUAGUGGUUACAAAUAUGAGGUCAUGACAUCUGUAGCAUAAGCCAGGUUUGAGGAUGUUCGGCAGUUUGGGAUGAAUUAAAAAAGAGAAGUGAAAUCCAUACUGUUUAAAUUAAAAUCGGUAUUCUCACUUUUUAUUUUUAAUAAUUUAAAUGUUGUCUUUAGUGAAUUAAAUUUUAUAUUCUUAUAAGAAUGUUGAUUAAAACUAGAAAGUGAGAGUGUGAAUUUCAAUUUAAGAUAUUUGAAUUUCAGUUUCCUUAAAGAAAUGGCCAGACAAUGCUAAAUCGAGCUCAAAUAGGGCAAGACUGUUGAAGGCGUUAAAACGAGGUAGCACAAUCACCCUAUCCAAACACACACUAUAAGGAGUUAAGGACUACAUUGGAAUCAUGUUCAACUAUAAAAGAAAAAUGUAAAUUUAAGCCAUGCCAAAAGAUUAUGAUAAACAUGUAUCACAUAAACAAGUAAACAACUGGUUGAAAUCACUAUCUCCUCAAUGAACAGGCAUGUGCAAAUAUUACUCUAAUGACAAUAGAGUUCACGCACUUUGCUCCCCGAUCAAAGUUAAUAUAGUACUUGCUUUUGCGGAAUAUUAUAAUGAAAGGCAUGACUAAUCUUAAUGGAACCAUGUCCUCAUUCAUAACCCCGAUUAACAAAAUAAUUAUAUUAUUUUCUUAAUCACUACUUAAAAGCGUGAUGUAUUCGAUAAUGACAGGAUCUUGAUUCCUUCCAGUGAUUAUCUGAUUAACUAAUACCACCUUACGAAUGGAAUUUCUAAUUAAAAUGAUGAUGAUAAUGAUAAUUAAAAGCGUGGUGUAUUCGAUUAUGAUAAUCAUGUCUUGAUGUCAUUUUGUCUCGUGAUACAUGAGUGUAAUUUUAAAAUAAAUGUUUUCAUCUCGUAAUAAUGAGUUGUGUUGAUAUCUAUAAUUUUACUUGAUGCGUAAAUUAGAAAUUAAAUUCUAAAAGUCUUCUAAACUAGAUUCGUCUAACCAUCUUGAUGAUCGUCCAACAUAUCUAUAAGAUAAAUAAAAUUCAUCAAAAUCAGUAUGGUGUUAAUCAAAGAUCAUAUGAUCACUAGUCAGUGUUAAUUAACCAAAGAUCACAUAGCACACUGCAAUUCAAAAACUUCGAUCAAAAUCAUUAAAUAUAAACCUUUGUAAGUCUAAUUAUGGACAUGUAUAAAGUCUCGAUCGAAAAAGAAAAAGAAAAAGAAAAAAAAGGUCUCGAUAGACUUUUGUGAUUAAUUGAGUACGUAUGCUGUACUACAACGCAUACAAUACGAUAAGCCACCACCAUCAUGCAUUGUUGUACCUAAAAAGCCCCACUUUGUGAAUCUUAAUUUGCUGAAAAUGAAUCAAGAAGAGAGACAAGUCACAGACUCAUUUGAAAUCAAGAAGAGAGAAAGCUAGCUGUGUGCUAAACAUGAAUCAAGAAAUUUGAUAAAUCCUUCACUUGGUUUCAUGGCAGCUAGAAAACUAACAGUAGUAGAUUGAGAAGGAAGCUAGAAAAGUUACGUUAACACAAAAGAAACAGAUUUACCUUCCAAGAACAACCGCAACAGGAACUCAGGAAGAGUGAGAUAAGAAGAGGUUCAGAGGUCCAGUGAAGCAAAGCUAUAGUAGAGCUGCAUGAAUAUAUAUAAUCCCCCGACUCCAUGAUUGAUGAUGAGGUUUGACCAAAGAAAAUAAAAACGAUAAUAUAUUAAAACCAAAAAUAAAAGAAAAGAUAAAUAGAAACAAGGUGGGAGGGGUUUUUCACAUGGGAAAGUGGAAUAUACACGUGCCCAACACAAUACAAUAAUAUCUAAAAACCCCAAAAAAUAAAAUAAAACGUGCUUUUACGACACGCAUCAAGCAAAACGUGUCUGAAUAAUUAAAUCCUUUAAUUACUGUAUUAAAUUUAAUUAAUCAGAAAAACACAGAAAGAGACGAACGAGGGCGACCUAAUCAAGGGUCGGGAUUAGCCCGUGAUGCCAGCGCGUCCCCGCGGGGCCCACACCUCAUGUUUGGCUUUGUUUUUUAUUCUGUCCCUGAGCCCCCUGCUUGCGAUUCAUUUCAAUUUCUUGACCAAAAGUUAGAUGGAUCGCCGAGUUUUUGGCGAGUGGCGGCUGCUGCUUCACGGAAGCUACGAAAUCUGACCUCAUCUAAUGUAAGAACCUCGGGAGGAUUUACAGUCAGCUAUGUUUCAGGUCAUUUUGGGAUGUCGGUCGCUCCCCUUUGACGAGCAUCGUAUCCGUUGGGGGGUUUCAUCGAUGAUGAUUCUAGUAAGUCUCUUUUUUAAAGAGAAAUCAGAUAAGGGAAGUGAAAUCAACAUUUUUUUAAUUGUAAUUCAUAUUUUUAUUUUUUAUGGGUUAUAAAAUUUACAUAUCUUAAAUUGAAAUUUACACAUAAUUUUUUUAAUAACUUAAUUUUUUUUAGUUGACUUAAAUUUUGUUUUGUUUUGUUUUUUUGUGUGUGAAUAUGUUACCUAAAAAAAGGAAAAAUGGUGUGUAUAUUUUAAUUUGGGGUGUGAGAUUUCACAUCUCUUUUUUAUUUUUAAUAAUUAUUUUUAUAAGAAGACAAAAGUUAUUAAGGACAAAAUUGAAGUUACAAAAAAUAAAAAAUUGGAGUGUGGAUUUCACUUUCCUUAAAGAAUAGUGUAUGUUGUUGAGGUGCUACAUAUAUAUGGGACAAUAAAUUAGUUUGUUCGGAUAUGUAAUGAGUUGUCCGUCUUAAUUAAUCAUAUAUUAAUACAUUAGAUGAAAGAGCUAAAAUUAUUUUUCUUCCUUUACCUAUCUAUGUACUCAAAAUUGUUUGUGCUAAAAAAAAUAAAAAAAUAAAAAAAAAAGUUGUUUGUGCUAUCUCAUCGAAUAUUUUUUUGUUUGUGUGACGGAUUCGAUCACAUUUGUGCUCAAGAUAUUAAAUUAUGUAAUAAAUUGUCAAUCACAUUUGUACUACCUAAGUUUACCAAUUUUAGCCAAAUCUUUUUAAGUCAUCAAUAGCUUCAUGAAAUGUUGACGUGAAGAGUUCACUCAAAUUGUAAUUUGCCCUUGUGUCACAAGUAAAAUACACAAUUACAUUAUUACCGUUAAAAACUAGAAAACCUUAAUGAUUGGACGCGUCUCAUCAACAACUAAUGAAAUAACUGACUAAUUAAUUAGUUUAAGAAGACAAAACAAAUUUAAACUCUAAAAUUUUAUGCAUGAAAUUUAUGGCGGACGAACUUAAUCUCUCUUGAAUUUCGCGUGCAAAAGGUAGUUUUUCAAAUAAGCUGAUGCGCCUCUAUUAUAGACGUCCAAAACUUUUCGUUGAAGAUUUCUUCUUGCAAUCAACUCCUCAAACCUAAUUCACAACCAAUUAGGAAUCUUAUUCAGUAUAAGAUCAUUCCAAAAUGGACACAGGUAAUAAACACAAAUCAUAAUAGAACUCCAUUCCCACACAUUCUUUCUCAAGCAACAACCUAGCUGUAAACAUUAAAACCAAUAUUCACCAAAUCAGAAUUAAACGACAUCCCAAGCCAUUCAUGUUUCUUUGCUUUGUAUAGGAAGGACAAUAUACAAUUAUGUAUACUAAUACAUCAUCGGUUAGUGAGCAGGCGGACACUAUAUCCAUAUCGACAAUAAUGGAAAGAUCCAUAUUGAACCGUAUUUGUUUCGCCUUAUGAUUUUUUCCAUAAAAAAAAAGAGACAUGAAAGUACGUGAGAAAAACGAUCCACUCCAUUGAAAAUUGUCCACUCCUCAUUUAAAAAGAUUAUGUAUUAAUUUUGACGGCAUGAAAAAAAUGAAAACUAAGAACUACGCGUUAUUGUCGGUAAUUCUCGCACACCACCAAGCAGUGCCUCCCACAUUCAUGGCAACCAUAUCCUUCCACUUUCAUUAACCUCGAGUUUCAUUCUUUUUCUAGAUAUAUUUUUCAAUGCUCACAGCAAAAUCAAACAUUUCAGAUGAAAAUUCAGACUCAAAAAGAAAUUCAUAAGAUUAGGCGGUAUGUUUUCCCUUCUAAUACCUUCUUUAUUGUGCUUAUUAUCGUGUGGGGUAAUGCAUGUAUUAUCACUUUCGUUUUGCAGGAAUUUAUUUGGUUGUUUUCUUUCUCAAAAGUUCACGACAUAAGGCAAGAAUUUAGAUCUCUUGUAUCUAUUUUUAUUGUCUUAAAUUUUGGGUAUGUAGCUCUUUUUUGUUCUUACUCAAAUGAGUUCAGAUGGUUGUAACUUUUCAUUGCUAUCUCUCAAACAAGCAUGAAAAAUUUGUUUACAUAUUCGUCCGCAGGUCAAAUUGGAUGUGUAAUUAUUAAUUAUCAGUUUCAUGUUCUAAUGAAACUCGUAAUUGUAAAAAAUGAUUUAUUUUGGUUACGGGCCUAGAAGAAGAAAAUUCAAGACAAGAAUUUCGUAAGACAAAAAAAAGAAACUAAAAAAUCUGGACUAUGAUGCGUUAAGAUAAAUGAGUUAUUAGAGCUUAUAACUUUCUUCGUAUGUCUUGAAAAAAAAUAUGAUAGAGAAUAAAAUAUAGACGUUUUUCAAAUAAACAUUAAGCAACCACAUCACGUCUUAAAGAUAACAAAUUUAUGAAAGAAUUGUUACUAGUUCGUCCAUUCUACCAAAGUAAACAAGAAAUUGGAAAGACUAAGAUUUAUUUCCUUAUCAACAAGAAAAGAAGUAAAAGAUUGAAGUGUUGAACUGUACACGCACAUCUGCUUUAAAAAGAAAAAAGAAAAAAACUGUAAGAAUCACAUUGGAGCAAAAUCAGCUAGCACUGUGAUCUGUGGUCAGUCCAACCUUCUCUUUCUUUCCUCAGGUCCCCAUAAGUCAAAGAGAUCCCAGCCAAGACAUGCAUUGCACGUGCCACACGGCUAAACUUCCACACCGAGUAAAAUAUAGCUCUCCCCUCCCGAUUAGUUCACUAAAUCGCCAUAUCCUCGUUUCUGAGAAACUUCAUCAAUCUCCUCUCUGUUUUUUACUAAACCUUCAGCUCAAAUCCACCACAAAUAAAUCCCCAUUUGUUCUUCUCCCCCAUCCCUCCUCCCCACACCCACUUUUCCAAUCCCACCAAAACCCAAAACGCUGUUUUUCAUCACAUGACGGACUACCGGAUACCACCCACCAUGAAUCUCUGGACAGACGACAACGCCUCUCUCAUGGAGGCCUUCAUGAGCAACUCCGAUCUCACCUCCUUCUGGGCCGCCCAGCCGGCCCAGCCCGCCGCCCACCCGCUCCACCAGCCCCAGUCUUCGGCUUCCACGUCGGACUACCCCCGCCCCCCGGCGCAGGCGCCGGCUCCGGUAUCGGCGCCGUUCAACCAGGAGACCCUUAUGCAGCGGCUGCAGGCCUUGAUCGAGGGCGCCAGGGAGAGCUGGACCUACGCCAUCUUCUGGCAGUCUUCGUACGACAUGUCGGGCGCCUCCGUGCUCGGCUGGGGCGAGGGGUUCUACAAGGACGAGAGGGACAAAGUAAAAACGAAGCCCAAAACGACGACGUCUCUGGUCGAGCAGGAGUACAGGAAGAAAGUUCUCAGGGACUUGAACUCCUUGAUUUCCGGCGCAGACACCUCCGCCGAUGACGCCGUCGUCGAUCAGGAGGUCACUGACACAGAAUGGUUCUUCCUCGUUUCCAUGACCCAGAAUUUCGUCAACGGCGGCGGGCUGCCGGGUCAGGCCUUCUUCCACUCCAACCCGGUCUGGGUCGCCGGGCCGGACCGCCUCGCUGCCUCUUCUUGCGAGCGGGCCCGCCAAGGUCAGGUGUUCGGGCUUCAGACCAUGGUCUGCGUCCCGACGGCGAACGGCGUCGUCGAGUUGGGCUCGACGGAGCUCAUAUUCCAAAGCUCGGAUCUGAUGAACAAGGUCCGUGUUUUAUUUGACUUCAACAAUCUUGAAGUCGGUUCUUGGCCUAUGGGCGGCGCCGCCGAUCAGGGCGAGAGCGACCCGUCGUCGCUCUGGAUCAACGACAACCCGUCCAGCACAAUCGAAGUUGUCAAAGAAUCAGUCAACAUAGCUCCGGCGACUUCAGGACCCAGUACCAGUAACCAUCACAUCUCCAAGAAUCCGAUUCCGUUCGACAAUAACCACCCUAGCUCCAGUGGCUUAUCGGACAAUCCCAGCGCCGUUCUCCAAGUCAGUCACCACCAGCAGCAACAACCCCAGCAGCAAGUCACGCAGACGCAGAGCUUCUUCACCCGGGAGCUCAAUUUCUCCGAUUACAAUGGUUACGACGGCAGCAGCGUCAAGAACUCGAAUUCCAAUUCACACUCCAUGAAGCCGGAGUCCGGCGAGAUAUUGAACUUCGGUGAGAGCAAGAGGACAUCUUACAGCGCCAACAACGGGAAGUUGUUUUCUGCUCAGUCCCAAAUCGCCGCCGAGGACACCAACAAGAAGAAAAGAUCGCCGUCGUCGAGGGGCAGCGAAGAGGGGAUCCUGUCGUUUACCUCAGGAGUGAUUCUACCGUCGAGUAGUGGUGUCGUGAAAUCUAGCGCCGGCCCGGCGGAUUCCGACCACUCCGACCUUGAAGCGUCCGUGGCUAAGGAGGCCGACAGUAGUAGAGUUGUGGACCCCGAAAAACGACCCCGGAAAAGAGGUCGUAAACCGGCGAACGGCAGAGAGGAGCCGCUGAACCACGUGGAGGCAGAGAGGCAGAGAAGAGAGAAGCUCAACCAGAGAUUCUAUGCUCUCCGAGCUGUUGUUCCAAAUGUGUCGAAAAUGGACAAGGCGUCUCUGCUCGGGGAUGCCAUCUCUUACAUCACCGAGCUCAAGACGAAGCUGCAAACGACGGAGUCAGACAAGGAGGACAUGCAGAAGCAAGUAGAGACGUUAAGUAAAGAGCUACAAGAGUCCCGGUCGUGUUCAGGUUUGGACCAAGAGCUUAAAGGGUCUACUAAAUUGAUCGAUUUGGAUAUCGAUGUCAAGAUACUCGGAUGGGACGCCAGGAUUCAAAUCCAAUGUAGCAAGAAGAACCACCCUGCGGCGAGGCUAAUGGCGGCGCUGAUGGAGCUGGACUUGGAUGUACACCACGCCAGCGUUUCGGUAGUCAAUGAUUUGAUGAUCCAGCAAGCCACGGUGAGGAUGGGCAGCCGGAUUUACACGCAGGAGCAGCUCAGAUUAGCUCUAUCAGCCAAAGUGGGGGAUGCCAGAUAAAACACAUGGCCACAGUUGGCUGAAUUACGGUGAGCUUGUAUUGCUACCAUCAGCGGCGGCAGGGUGCUUUUGGACAUUUUAUUUGAGGCUCCCGGCAAAGCAGCGAAGCCGAGCUCUGUAUUAUACUAUGCCUUCUUCUUUAGUAGAGUUUUGUUAUGUUGUUGUAGCAGUAUAGAAUCUGAGUUUGAGAUUGUUCUCCCACGAGCUUAAACUAGAUGAACAAUUUUUCCAUGUAGCGAAUGUAGCCGUAUUUGAAACCCCCGUGUUCCCAUAUCUUGUCUUGUAUCCACCAUCUUCAAUUUGUAAAUAUGUUUCAUAAAACUUGAACUCUCACGAAGUUCAUGAAUGUUCUGGCUUAGUGAUGUUGUACUAUCAGAGUUUGUAUCAGAAUAUGACAUUGUAAUCUUUUUGCUCCUCAAAUUCUUCCGAGGAAGUUAGAAGUUGUUUCGAUUUUGCCCGAGUUCAAGUUGUGUGUGUGUUUCUGAGCUCAUAGAUGGAGACCCUUUCAAAGUGCAUGCAUUUGUAUCAGAAUCUGACUAUAGGGCUUUUUCAAUGUUGAAUUCUAGCUUGGAUAUAUUUUGGUGGGAACAUUAUUAUUUUGCGGGCAUUUUUCUCGUGGGGAAUAAAUGCCCCAAAUUCUAGAAGGGUCAUGAUAUCAUCUGGAUUCUCAGCAGCAUGGAUGAGGGUAUUCUACCAACAUUUGUGGAUGAAAUAAGGGUGGUCGGCACCUGGAUUUUUUUCACGGCUGUUUUUAGCCACAACUUUUAUGCAAAUAAGCAGCUGCAUGAAUAAAUGAAGGUGAUAAUUACUGUGACAGUUGGAUCCUCUUUUAGCUGUGGAAUGUUUUUGGCAAAGUAGUAAACUCACUCUCCUUUUACCAGCUGAAAAGUUCAACCUCUGAUUCAAUGAUUGGGGUAAAAAUGGGUGGCUAACUUUCACAAUCCGGCAUUCUCAGAAUUUACUCUUUCAUGUAUCAAUCAUGAUUUCUGUGUCUAGAUUUCGACCUCAAAUUUUAAAGGGUGUAAGAAGAAGGCCUUGCCAAAUUCAAUUUGUCCCGUUGUGACUAGGAAAUCGUUGAUGUUGACUCAUAGUCAGUUAAUCACAACAACUAUUGUCUCAACUCAACUAUUUUUCUAAGAUCAAAUUUUAUUACCAGUAAGUGAAAUAUUACGAAAUUGAUUUUCAUCGUUAAAAGAAAAAGAACAAGAUAGGAAGAUCUUUGAACAAGUUGUGAAUCAAAUUCAAUCUAGAAAGUGACCUCUUGAUCUUGUCUUUGCAACUUGCCUAUAUCUAAUAAAAUGAAAUCCAAAGAAAUUUUACUAAAACAUGAUGCUUAUUAAGCUCGUCCCCACUACUUGGUUCAUUUCGAAUUAAUUUAACACGUGGUGUGGUGUGGUGUGGAGGUCCAAAUCAAAGCACAGUGUUGGUGAUCGAUAAUAUCAUCUCAGCCACUUAGCUUGAAAGGCUUCUUGGAGAUUAAGAAAUGAAGCGAACACAGGUCCCAGCACAGAAUUUGGGGAGCUUUAUGCCAUUUAUCAAUUUCAGUUAUUACAACCUCAUUAUAUUUGAACAACUUUUGUAACAAUUUUGUUUUGUCUACCUAAAAUGUGGAAGGUAAUUAUGAUUCUUCGAUCUGUUAGAGAUAUUUUUUCAGUUACCAUAAUGAGACUUAUGAGUAAGAGGCAGGUAAAUUUUCUUUUCACCAACUUUAUUCUUUGUAUAAUUGGAGAAUGUAUAUGCAUGCAUCUGCAAGAUAGAGUGUUCAACAAAAUUAGAUCACGGAUCAUUUAAGCUAAUAAUUAUCAUGUAUUGUUAUGUCGUAUCAAAUUAUUAACAUAAAAGACUAACGGUUAGACUUGAGCAUUUUCUCUUAAUUUUAUAUAUUAGGGAUGUUAUGUUGAUCAAAACGACUGGGACGACUUUUAGUCAAAUACGCUAAUUAAACCGGAAUUAGUUCUUCUUUUAUACACUAGACUGGAAUUAGUUUUUCUAAUUGAUUUGGUUUUGUUUCGGACUGUAAGAUAUGUUUGAUUGCCCUCCAUAUAAAAAAAAACAAAAAAAACAUUUAGUUUAGAGAGGCAUAUAACACAUCAAUCGGAUAUUAUCAGGUGCAAUGUUUUGUCUUGGUGAUUGAUAGUUUGAUACUAUUGUCUUUAAGUGGGGGCAUUCUUCCUUGAUAGUUUUUCUGCGAUUAUAUAUGACUCCUCAAGAAUUUGUUUAUUCGAAAGCUACAUUGUCACGUUUUGGCAUACUUUAUGUCACUCCCAAGAUGGCUGCAGACUUAGGGGUUCCUCAUCUGAGUCAUCUCUAGCUUUGCUGAACUUACCAAUCUCAACUAGGAUAUUUUGCGGCAUACUUGAGGCACCUGAGAUGGAUUUGAUAAAUUUACAGUUGACGUAUGACUGACUUUGUAGCUAGCCAUAGCUUUGUUGAGUGAAUUAAUAGAGAGAGAAAUACGUUUUCAUAUCAAGAUGAGUACGUAGUAGUCUCUGCGAAAAGAAAAAUCAUAAUAUCUCUUUAAUUCUUUAUCUGUUGCUUUGAUCAUAGGAGACGAUCGAGAGUUUUGAACUUGGGACAUUAUCUGUGCUCAUGGAGAGAAACACCACUCGAUGAGUUAUUCAGAUUUCUGAUCUUGUACAAUCGCCAGUCGUAUACAUUAUCAGGAAUAUGAGCAGUAGAAAUUGAAUGAGAAGAAUAUAAAUUAAGGUUGGUAAAGGUACCAGUCAAGUCCUAUAUAUUAAGUUUUGAUUAAACGAAGCUAAAGGCCACUGAUAUUGUAUUAACGAAGAAAGCCAACAAAAUUUGCAAGGGAAUGGUAGCAACCAGUGGAGUAGGAUAGGUAUAUAUGAGUGCAUUUGCAUUGUAUUAUCGAACUUUACAAGGUAGCUAGGCAAUCUCCUUCAUCUGUAUUUUUAAUUGAUUGGGAUCAUCUGGAAGGUGUUGUUGUGAGAGUUUAUUCCCUUUAUCUUUAGGUUAGGGAUCGAAGAACUUUCCAAUUAACAUGAGCUUAAUUUAUUUUAUUUAAAAUGAAACUAUAUUUGCAGCAGUUGAUGAUAUAUAGAAUAUGACUAGAGUAAGGUGGGAUGUACAGAUCUCAAACUAGCUAGCUAGAGUAAUUAGUUAAUUACUACACUGAUGAGAAUCUAGUUUUAACUAACAUAAGCUUGUUAACAGUUAUUAUCAUAUAACCCUAUCACAGUAAGACGGUUCUCCAAAUAUGGUAGAGCUUCAUAUCUCCCAUGCCAACAAGAAACAAAUUCUCACUUUCCAGAAGCACAUUUCAGGCCGGUGAAUCACCGGCGAUAUGACUACGUUAUCAAAAUAUGUAAUGUGAGACCAGAUUCCAUUAGGGCAUAUCACAUCCCGACUCUUAAUUUUUACCAUGUUUACUAGUAUAGUGUUAAUAAGAGUUUUUACCGUCUUCGUUAAUGAUUUUAUAGUUUCAUGGACCCUAGAUAUAUUUUGAGGGAUGAGUAUUUCGGAGAAAUUAUUAGUAAGAAAAAUAUUUGAAGACGGUAAAAAAGGGUAAAUUUGAGUAAAUAAAAAUGUAAUUUUUAUUAGGGUAUUGUUUUUGGGGUAUUAUUUUGGAGUUGGGUUUUUAUUGGUAUGGGUUAGGAACCGGUUGGCAAAAGCCCAACUCUUUUCUUCUCUCUUCCCUCCCGACGUUCUCUCUCUCUCUCUCUCUGUCGGAAGUUCUCCACGCUCGUCCGCUGCCGUCCGGUCAACUUUGACCGCCGCACCGGUCUUAAACGGUCGGUCAUCGUCCCCUCUCUCUUUCUGGACCGGUAGGAGCCUCCCUAGUGCCGCCGUAAGGGAGAUAUCACGCUCGAGAGGUCCGACUGUCCGUGGUGUUCCGUCGCCGGAACUCCCUCCUCCGACCGCGAUAGCCGGAGCUGCUUGGCUAAAUAGGAAGCUCUCUUCCCGUGCAGCAAUCCCUAAAAAGGAUUCACUCCCUCUUGGUCUAGGUAAGGAGAAUCGGGUGUUAGAAAUUCUAGGGUUCCAUUUUUAUUUUGGUUCGAUUGAUCUAGUUAAGCUUGAAAUUGGACUUUGUGCUAGUUAAGGAAGUUGUAGAGCGUGUUGAGAGGAAGUUUGUGUUAAAUUUUGGUAAGCAUCGGAGGUCGCCGGAGUAGGUUUCCAGCGGAGCAGACGGCGGUGCCGCCGCUGUUAAGUAGUUUUUCAGGGUUUUAAAUUUGUUAUGUUGAUGGGAGUAUAUUGAUGUGAAGUUUGUAAUUUUUGGAGGAGUUUUGGAUAUGAAUGAGAUUUUUCCAAGAUUGGUGAAUUUGGCGGUUAAUAGGGUAGAAUCUGACUGUUGGAUUUCCCUUAUUAUUGUUUUAGAAUGUUGAAAUAGAUGAAAUGAAGAUGUGGGUGGAGUUUGGCAUGAAUUUGAUAAGCUUAACCCUAAUAAGGGUAGUGGGUUAGGCGGAACAGUUUUGGUGUUUAUAUUUAAGUAUUCUUUAUGCUGAAAGUGAAGUUUGGUCCUAAACAUGGUUAUUGUGCCAGGGUUCGAGGAGACCUUUCGUGAGUGACGAUUUAGAUUUCGUCGGGCUUAUGCCUAAAGUUGUGAGUGGACUUUUGAUUUAAAUAAUAUGCAUGCAAAUGGUUUAUUGUUGAACAAUUUUUUUUGGUUGGAGCAUAUGACGUCAUUUUAAUUUGAAAAGUUUAUUUAUUGUUGGGAAUAACCAAAAGUGAGAGUUUUGGUGAAUAUAUAAUCAUAUAUGGAUAAUUAUGAGGAUAGUAUGUAUAUAAAUGCUAGCUAGCCAUACGUGUUUUUCCUCCAUAAUGAGGUAAAAUUCUAUUAUGGCGCGACGUGAGCGUUAGACGCAAGCGUCGUAGCCCUAUAUAAAUAUAAGAAUUUAUAUAGGGAAUAUGCACGUAUAUAUAUACACCGUCUUUUUUGCAUAAUAAGGUAAAAUUUCAUUAUGGCGCGACGUGAGUGUUAGACGCAAGCGUCGUAGCCUUGUAUGAAUUUAUAUUUUUCUUAUAUUUCUUCAUAGAAUUUAUACAAGGAAUAUGAUGAGUGUAAAUACAUACAUAUAUAUAUUUAUAUUUUAGCUCGAGAGGCUCUAUUUUAUAAAGUUUUGGAGACUAGCCUGGGUUAGUCAUGUAUUUGUCAGUUUAUGAGUUGAGAGCUUUUGAGCUGUCGCAUGCAACAUAAUUUCUUUGGAAAUUAAAUUGGGAAAACAUAAAGAUUUUUAUUGCUCGUUUCCUUUAAAUUUACUUUUAUCCACUCACUUUAACGCGUUUUCAAAUGGUUUCCCCUUGGCAUUUCGAUUUUAAAUGCCCAGUUUGCAAGUUAGCAUAGUUGAGGUCGAGCGUAUAUGGAGACGAGGCAUAGUUAAUAGUAUAGCUUCCGCUCAUAUAUAUAUAUAUAUAUAUAUAUUUCUAAUUCCUUUCUUCUUUAAUAGAGUUGCUCUGAACCUGUGAUUGUUAGUUGUGAGAUUUUCUUAUUAAAGUUAGUAAAUCAAGUUGGGAGAUGUUGUGAUUUGGGGAGCAUGAAGGCUCCAGGAGUAGAGAGUUAUAGAUUGAUUCUUUUGAAGUGUAUGCAUGUAUUAUUAGGAAGGGUUGUCUAUUUUCAAGGGAGGUUAUACCAAAUUUUCAGUAAAUUUUCCUUGGAGGUGGUCCCCGCAGGAUUUAUUUCGGGUUUUAGGGUAAAAUUCGGGGUGGGUCCUGACAGGACAUAUAAGGCAUUGCUUUAUAGGCUCCCCGCCGACUGAUAUGAUGCCAAUCUGAUGUUGUAGUACUGUUCCUCCAUCCGGCCACACUCGUUAGACGAGAAUAUCCGUAAAUUCUAAUUGUAAGGGAUCGAAGCGUAGCAAUGAGGAGGAAAGGAUCACCUGAGCUUUAACCAAGUGACACCUUAAACUAAUGAAUAUGAGUCAUAUGGACAUAAUACCUUCAAAUUUACAUUACAGAUUGUUUAGUCUACUAAGAUAUAUCAUCUAGUUGGGGAGCCCUUCUAGUGAGAACUCUUAAGUUAAGGACUUGGUGAAGACUUUUCGGUUUAUGGUUUAAACGACUCAAUUUUCGAUCACAUUUUAACAUCUCAUCCGUUCAAUUUUUAGGUUUAUAUGAGUAGAUCAUUUAUACAAAUUUUCAGCCAAAUUGGUGUUUGUUAAGAUAACAAACUAGAUCAAAUUAAUGGACGAACCAAAUCUGUCAAAUAUGAACCGUUCAAGUUCAUAAUUGAUAAAUCACACUUAUGAAUGUCUUAACAAUUUUCAAUAUAGCUGAAAAUUUGUAGAAAUGAUCUACUCAUAAAUACCUAUAAACUGAACGGUUAAGAUGUGGAUAUAAGAUCAAAAGGUGGGAUAAGCCGAAAAGUCCUCACCAAGUCCUCAACUUAAGGAUCCUCACUAGAAAGGCUCCCUAUGUAAUUGAUCUCAUGAAUUAUGAACAUCAUCAAUUCAGACUCUAAAUUGUUGCAAGAGGCUCUUUUUCUUGGCCGGCUAGAAUAUCACGGGAUGUUUAUGCUCAAGUGCCUUUGUGAAGGUUGCACAUGAACAACUCAAAGACUCCUCACUAGACUUCUGCUAUUAGUCUGGAAACCACUGUCGAAAUUUCUUAGCAAAUACUUUUUUGAAAUCCUCUUGUUAUCCUUUAUAUUUCUUCAUAAUGUAUACAUGAUACGCAAAAAAACAAAUCUUCAUUGCGUAAAACUUUAAAAAUAGGACUAUCGUAUAUGAUGAGAAAAGAAUACAAAUUAAUCUUCUAAGAGCAUCUCCAACAGCUUUCCCAAAAUUUCUCUAAAAUGGGGAAGCAAAAGCUAAAAUCUUCAAAAAAAUUAUGAUCAAAAUCCAGCGGCUUCUCUAUUUUGGAGAUUUCAGCAUUUAAUACAACAAUAAAAUAUAAUAUAUUAUCAUUAAUUAUAACAAAAAAACAUUAUAUAUUUCAUUGUAACGAUAAACUACCCAAUAAAAUAUUUUAUUGUUGUCUUAAAUUCGUUGGAGCACGUGAAAAAUUUAAUUUUGGGGAAGGAAGGCUUUGCUGCAAAUUUGGGGAAUGAAGAUUUUUUUUUUCUUCUUCAUCCCUAUUUUGGGGAAUGAGAUGGGAAAACUGUUUGACAUAAAAAUAGCUCUAUAUUUCCAAAAAUUAAGAAUUUCAAAAAAAUAGGGAAGCUGUUGGAGAUGCUCUAAGUCUCAUUGUUUGCCCCUUAAAUGUGGUACUGAUAUAACAUACGUAGCAAGCUAGAAAUGAUUCUUACAUUUGAGUGGUAGGAUGAUUCACAUGUGACAUGUUCUAUAUAGAUAGGAUUUGCAUAAAACGGUAGUAAGCCAAACAUUGUUUUCGUUACGUAAAAAUGUACUAGACCAAGUUUGAUUGAAAGGUACAUAGCACAGCAAUGUGACAGCAUAUAUACCUAACCCCUGUACCAGUAAUUAACCUAUUGCAGCAAUCUAAUUGGAUAGGGAUAUCACUGGUGACCAUCCCAAAUUAGAUCUGGUUAAGCUGUAUUUCCGGGUUGGCAUUGCCCUAAUCCUAAUCCAAAAUUAACAAAAACAACAUUUGGUUGUUAUUUGAUGGUUAUUAUUCCAACCCAUAUCAGUUUGCCUCCAAAAACCAACCCCCUUCCAGCAUUGUACAUAUUUCAUUCUCCUCUAUCUCUUCUCCCUUCAUUCCAUUACGGAGAUGUAAUGGUGUCCUUUGCAUGAUCAUCCUCUCCAGUUGAACCCUACAUACCCGUUCCCCAUAUGCAGGCCUUGCCUGAAGUCGGAGGCUUUUCCAACUUCUGAUUGUUGAAGAGCUUUCUAUCUAGGGCACACGAGAUAUAUCAUAACACACAUUGCAACCAUGAGCCUAAGUUGCUUGACAUGCCAGGUUCUGCAGAGGACGAACUCUUCGGAAUCUGAAAGGAGCUACAAACAUAGAAAGGCUCAGAAGGCUUGUAAUAGGAAGCUAUGCUGUGUAAACAUGGACAGAAGCUGGUCCGGGAACCUAACUCCGCCGCCUUAUUAUGAGAAGAUAGAUAGGUCAGCUCCUUUGUUGGGGGAGCUUGACAAGAAGAAGAAGAAUGAGAAAAAGGCAGGGCAUCGCCGGCUUUGUAGCACAGGUGGAGUUGCAUAUGAAGGGAGCACUGAACCAAAGUUGGUGAGGAGCGCUGGAAUGAGAAGGGAUUGGAGCUUUGAGAAUUUGGAACGGCUCAGAAAAGAAAACAAAGGGGGGAACUUCUAUUAAUGCACCAAAGUUUCUCUAAUUCAUGUUCCUUGUUUUUACUUCUCAUUUUAUUACUUCAUUUCUAAUUACUUUUUCAUGUAUGGCGUUGGAUUGAAUAUUGUUUGGUGGAUUUAAACAUACUAUAGUUGUAAUUGUGCCUAAAACUAAAAGUUCCUUAUACAAAUAGACACGUUGCUUGCUUUCAUAUCUUUCAAAUAAAACCUUUCAUAUCUUCUGCUUUUUGAUUCAUUGAUUCAUUAAUAAGCUCAUCACGCUAGGAAAAUGAGAAAUCCAAUAGCCAUAUUGUGUUUGUCAUCCUCAUCGCAACAAAUGAAUUCAUAUGGAAGAAGACGAUCGAAGUUUGGAAAGGUUUUAUCACCAUUCUCGAUUUCCAGUAUUGGAAGGGAACGAGGAUGACAUUUCAAGCUAGAAAUUUUCGCAAACAAAAUCUAACCUCGAGUAUAAUCCAAGGAUCAACCGUUUCAUCCAAGAUGAAUAUCCUAAAUUUCCAUUUUCAUUGCCUUAAACAGUUUGAACGAACUUUGUACCAAACCUGUUAAGACUUUUUGUCUGAAACUUCAGAAACUAUUGGGUUGGACAUGAAGGGCUACCCUCCAGACUCAAAAGGGAUAUCCUUGGAGGGUUAAUUUUUCCAGGAUUCCAGGCAGAAAUGCAUAUUCGACAUGAUGAAUCUGUUCUAACUUGUUCAACCUUUGAAUCCCUGAUCUUUAAAGUUCCAACUCAAGCUUGCUAGACAUCUACAUUUUGCGAGUGCUUUUGUGGAGACAACAAAUCAAUACUACGUGAUAUGUGCAGACACAUUCUCUACAAUAUCAUUUUCCAAACAGAUCAAUGCUUGUACUAUAGAAUCUGAUGCAUAUAUUGAAUUAAAAACACCACUGAUUGAUUUAUAGAAAAAAAAAAAUCCUCAUGAACUCGAUACUACAAAGAGAUUUAAAUCCAUUCAGGCUUCAUACUCAGUUUUUUAUCACACCCAUAUUCCUAACAUGAGGUAAAAGUAAUCAAAUUUCGUUGAAAUUAUUAAAAGGAGGUGUUUAACCAUUAAAAGCCUUUACGCCCACUUUUAGACGAUGCUGAUGGUGGCACAUGCUGAAGAUAUCUCUCAUAUGGAAAGAACACAGAGAUUCUUAUUUGCAAAUGCAUAUAUUUGAAAACAUGUAAAACAAAGUUCAUAAACAAUCUAAGAUGCAUUGCAUUCUAACAAAGUUCACCCUAAAUAAUCAAAUCCCAAGAGUCUUUAGAGAAGAUACACCUGACUACAAUCCUUGUAUUAACAAUACUUCAACAACAAUACUCAUACAUUUUGAUACUUUAGAAUACUGACCUGAUUCUCUGACUAAAACAAUACAUACGUCCAAGAGUGAUUUUCUGGCACUGUUGGGCUUCCAUUUCUGCAAUUCAACAUUCACCAACUAAGGAAUUAGCUGCAUAGUUUCCCCAUUCCUAAGAUGUCAGUAAGAGCAGAAGCAGAAAAUUUUACACAGACAAUGACAACUGUUACCAUCCUUGAUGGAAUGGCUAGGAGUUAUCUCUACCUGAAUCCAUAAACUACCAUUCCAUCAAAAUAGGAGAAUAGGCCGUUGACUGUCAGCUGCUUCAGUUUUUCUUCUUUCUUGCAUCAGCUUUCCAAUCUCUUCUCCCCAGUUUAGGUCUAUUCAUUUCACUGUUAUUUCGGUCAACAGAUACUUCUGAAUACGUUUCACUCUCAAAUUUUCCUUCUGCUGUAGUUCCAGCGAGAAACACAGUUUGACUCUCACCGGUUGACAUCAAAGUAGGGGCAACAUAAGCAUUGGCUGUAACUUCAGGAUCCCUAGAAACAUGACCUCUCCUUGCAUCCUUUUUCCAAUUCCGUUUGCAGUACACACGGGGUGUGUAAUUGCUAACAGUUCCAUUAAGUUGUACUUGUACAUUUGGUGAAGUUGAGGGCUUUAUAGUGCUGGGAUUUUUCAAUUCUGCUUCAAGACGCUUCCGAGCCCUAUAUCGACGUUGCCUUUCUCGGUUCUUCAGGCGACGAGUGUGAAUGUCACUACGACCCCCAGUGCGCUCUCUUUGAUCAAUAGGCUUCAUUGUAAUACUGUGUUUGAGUACUGCUUAUACCAGUGCCUGUUUCAUAUUCUGAAGCAUAGGCAUAAAUUAAACAAAGGAGUGCAAAAGAUUACUCUUCAUAAACAAUGUUUUUCCAUCUAGUAGUAACUUACCAUUAAAGUUUGGCUCACAAUAGUGGGUAACAACUCUAUUAAACUAAGAUCUAUUUGAAUGAAAGAAAAGAACAGCACUUCCUCAGGGGUUUGUUUAUUGGUCAGACACUUACUCAGGGGUUGACUCAGAAAUAUAUGAACUAUAGAAAAGUAACAGGUACAUGCACUACAUCCUUCAGAAGCCUCGAACAAAAACAACAUGCAGGUACUAAUUUGGUCAAGAGUACUAGCUAAGUACAUCUCCUAGCUAGUAAGCACAUAUGCAAGAUGUAUAGGUGCUGAUUCAUGUGAUUGGGAAGUAUGUGUUUAAUUUACUUCACGAAUUAAUAAAUAGAUUCUUAAAAAGGAGCAUAUCGGCGAUUUUCUUAAAGUGGAAAAGAUCCUCAAGUGCUCUUCUAAUUUUGGCCACUCAUCUGCAGUACAAAUUGUCAUAUAUUGAAAUGCUCAUCAUGAUAUGAAGUGAAAACUCAACAUUCUACAAUUUCAAUAUAUGGAGACUCUCCUACUUUUUAAUCCCCUUCCCUACUGGAAUGGACCUUUGAACUCUUAUGAGAAAACCCAAAAUGCAUAACCCAGACCAUAUGAAAGGAUUAUAAUUCAAAAGAAGACAAAUAAAUAAAAAAGGAAAAAAAAAACCAGGCAGAAAAAAAGAAAAGAAAAAAAAAUUGAAGAAGGAGAGGGUUAUGAAGCGUGGGGUUUUACCAUCAAAUUGAGAUUCAAUUAUGUUCACAUCCAAUGCUGGCAGCUUAGUUCCAUAGUUAGAUUCUUAUGCCCUCAACCCCGUUCAUCUUUUAGUGCAAAAAAGACAAUCAGAUAUGAACAUCCAAUAGCUAUAAGAGCAUCGAUCUUUAUAUCAUCUCCUUUCAGGCUAAAAGCAGUCUUUCAUGUAUGCAGCGUGUUGCUUUCCAACCCGGAACUCCUGGAGGGAUGAACAUUUUAUUGAGCCAUUUCAUUCAUGAAUUUUAAGAAGUAAAACACAAAAACAUACUAAAGGGAUAGUAAUUUUUUUUUGAGAGAAAAAGGGAUAACGAUUAAUAUUGAACAUAUUAUAAUCGGUUACAACCUGACACAGUAAAUCAAACUUGAAAUACACCACGACAAUAAAUAAAAGGAAAUCAAUGAUAUCAUAAAACCCGCAUAACAACCAAUUUGGCAAAGGGUGGCCGGAUCAUAGAUUACCAAGAAGCAACAGGAAUGCAGAUCAAUGCUUCCAAAGGAUAUUAAAUACACUACUACAUUAUGUUAUUCAAUAAAAACUAUGCAUCGUGGUUUACAAUGUCGAAUUAAAGCAAGCUAGGGGACAGUAAAUACCACAAUCCAGGUCUCGUAGGAUUACCAUUUCGCAAUUGCCUUUUAGAACAUUCAAGAGCCAAGGUCUAAAGCAAGUGGUGCUUGCUUAACAAAGCAAUUAGAAACCUAACAACAAAACCCUUCUCAGCCAUUUGCUUAAUUUACAGUUCACUGAAGCUAAAACCAGAACCCCAAAACCAAAACAUAAAAAAACACUAAAUUUCUGCAUUCACAUAUCAAAAUUCCCAAAUUGAUCAACCUUAAAGCAUCAGUACACAAGAAAUAAUCAAAUGCAAGACUGCAAGAGUAUGAUAUACAGAAAGCAAGAAAACAAGGGUUUGGGUAAUUUCUAAAUUACAAGCACAGAUGUGAGUCAUGAAAGGACUAACCUUUAAGGGGAAUGGAAGCAGAUCUGGGUUUGAUGGUAGAAGCAGAGUGGUGGGUUUGGGGUUAAAUUGUGGAAGGAGGGUUAAUUGAGGCAGUGAGAGACGAAACGAAAGGGUUCAACUUUUGAAGGCAGAGAAGGGAACUCCCACGACCAUUUGCAUAGGUCUCCCGAGGUGCUCUCCCACGUGUUCAACUGCCGUAAUCAAUGGAGUUGGGAUGUAUGUCACUACCCUUUAAUUUUUUGUUUUCUUUUUCAUUUUCUUUUAUGCUUGAAAUAUAUCAGAAAUAUAUAUAUAUAUAUAUAUCAGAAAGUUUUCAAAUUUAUUUCCAAUACACUCAUGACAAGUUUACUUGUCAGGAAUGGAUUUCAUAAGGAAUAGGAGAAGGAAGGAAUGAGAGAAAAAAUGGAAUUAGAAUAUGAAUGAAAUUAAUUAUGAUUGAUGUUAUUUAUUUAUCAUAUUGAAUCGGAAUUAAAACUACUUCGAUUACUAAAUUACCCUUUCAAAAAAAGUCUGCCAAGUAGAUUUUGAACCCCUCCACAUCACUCUCAACAGACAAAUAGAUAUCAACAACGAUCAAGUCAAGUUGAUGCAGUAAAAAAAAUAAUAACAAAAGAGAAGAUCAUCGGAAAAGAGAGGAUAAAGAAGAGUGACUAACCAGCAGCACAGUCGCACGAGUCUAGUCGAUUCGUUUUUUGUCGUUGUUCGGCUGUUUCUGAUAAUAACAAAAUAUGGCACGUUUCUAAUGAGAAAUAUAUUCUAAGGUUGGACAAUUUGGAGUUAUUGAAAUUAUGUGAGGAUAAUUUGGGAACAAAAAGUUCAUUCCUGAUGGUGUCAUUCCUAAACCCACCUCCUCCCUUGGUAUUAUAAAUCCGGGUUAACAAGGAAUCAAUUCUAGGUUAGGAGGUAGGACCCAUAACAAUUCUCAUUCCACUGUGAGCAAGUAAACAUAUGAAUUUCUUCAUCCCGUAAUCAUUCCCCCACAUUUGUAUUUCAUUCCUGACAAGUAAACGUGCCAUUAGUGAACAGAUAGGCAAUGGGCCGGUGUGCAUCUAUUAUUUGGAAAAGUUUGGUAUGGGCCAAUGAGCUUUUGGAGCUAGGAAUGAGGUGGAGAGUAGGGAAUGGGCAGAUGAUCAAUGUUAAAGCUGACAGAUGGAUUUCAAAACCGGUUUCCUUCAAAAAUCUCAUCUCCAUACUCUAAACUUUGGCAUGCGAGGGUCUUUGAUUUUAUAACUCCAAGAGUAGGUUGGAAUAUUGAGAAGGUAAUGACCAGUUUAUUAAGCUUCGAAGCUGAUAUGAUCUUGUCGAUUUCAUUACCGAAGCAAGGUGGUAAUGAUAGGCUAAUUUGGCAAUUGGCACUACAAUAAGAAUGGUCGAUACUCUGUGAAAUCAGGCUACUAGGUGGCAGUACAAGAUCAAUUAAUAAGAGAUUGAGGUAUGGAAGCUGGGAGUAGGUCCAGAAAUGCAAAUAUCGUUCAACAAGGAUGGAAGAAAUUAUAGAGUCUCAAACUUCCAAAUAAAGUUAAAGUGUUCAUGUGGCGAGCUUGUAACAACUUUCUCCCUUGUGGUGCCGAGUUAAAGAGAAAAGUCUGUCAACAGGAUCGGUGCUUCCAGUGUGGUAAUGGUUGCGAGACUAUCCUAGAUGUCUUGUGGGAAUGCAAAUGGGCUAGAAAUAUUUGGCAACAAACUUUUCUUAGAGAGGUAUGCACAGUUUGGAAAGAAAAAGACGUGUUUGGGUUGUUUUUACACGUCUAUGUUAUUGCAAUUAUUAAGGAGAUGAAACGGUUCUGUGUGAUCUUAUGGUACUUUUGGCAUGAAUGAAAUAAGAGAUGUUAUGGUAAUGGAGGCAGUCCCAAGGAAUCUGGUCAGCAUAAUUGUGUCAUGGUGGGAGAUGUUUGAAGGAGAAAACAAAAAAAGUAUUGGAGUUCAAAGGAGGGACUCUGGGCUUAGGGAGAGAGGGUCGGCUAGCUGGUCUAAACCGAGUGUUGGUGUUGUCAAACUGAAUAUAGAUGGAGCUCUGGAUGUUAAGAGAGGAAUUUAUGGAAUUGGGGCAGUGCACCAUGAUGAGAAUGGGAUUUGUUUGGGAGUUUUAGUAGUGUCAGGUACUGGUUUACUGAGUCUUCACGUUGUUGAGGCUUUAGCACUUGUUCACGGGCUGCAUUUCUGUGCCCAGAUUGGCUUCACUCACCUGGAAGUAGAAGGCGACACCUUGAAUGUUUUUGCAGGGUUGGAUGAAGCAAUUGAUGAUUUCAGCGAAGUAGGUGCUAUUAUGGAUGAAGCAAGGAGCUAAUUAGCUCUUUCGAGGUCUGUAGUUGGGGUUUUGUCCCAAGAGUUUGAUGAAGCUAUUGAUGAUUUCAGUGAAGUAGGUGUUAUUAUGGAUGAAGCAAGGAGCUAAUUAGCUCUUUCGAGGUCUGUAGUUGGGGUUUUGUCCCAAGAGUUUGGAACAAAGUUGCACAUGAGGCUGCAAAGCUUGUUUUGUUUUUUGGUCAAGGUGCAAAGCUUGCUUUAUCUCUUCCAUAUCCUUAUUACUGUUGACAAAUGAUGUUGGAAUGCUUAAUUAUUUUAGUAAAUGCUGAAGCUAGUUAUCCUUAGGAGUGUGGUACGGUACUCUUCCUAGUGUGGUACGGUACUCUUCCUAGUGUUUAACGAGGCCACUAUUACUCCUCCUUGAUCUAUUGGGUUCUUCUAUAUAUUGAAUAAACUACUUCAGAUAAAAAAAAAUUUAUUACACUCAUACACUUGGAUUUUGCUUUCCCUCUCCAAAUUCCCUACUGUAGAUAUUUGGAUUGACAUAUCAUGGAUAAUGUGCCCCACUCUGUGUUUGAAGAUUGUGUUUUAUUGUGUUGCAGAUUCGAAAAAUUCGAAAGUCUCUAUUAUUGUCACCUCUGGUGCUGCUAGGUUUCUUAUUUGACUCUUUUUUGGGGUUCCCUCAAUUGCUGGUACACGUCGACUCCAUACUUCUAGUGUACUGAUUGCUGAAUGUUGUGCCCUUACAAAAGCGCUCGUUGCUGCUAAAAUAUUCAACUUCAAGUCUAUUGUGGUUGAAGGAUAUUCCCUCUCGAUGAUCAACUGCGUUAAUAAUGAUUAUGAAGUCCCUUAGCGUCUCAAAUCUCAUAUUUGAGAUGCCUUUCAUGUUGCUAGUGAGUUUGAUAGUAUCAGCUUUGUUCAUGCUUUCCGGGAAGCCGACUCUUGUCUGGUGCUCUUGCAAAUCUCGGGCACCGUUUUCAUUCUCCGAGAAUCUGGAUAGAUAUACUUUCUCCCCAAGAUGCGCAGGUUUUACAGUUAGAUACGAAUAACAUCAGCCGCCCUAGAGGCACCUCGUUGUAAUCUUCUUUUUCUUCCAAAAAAAAUCAGUUAAUUGUUUUUUUGGUAGGAUUAACUAAGUUUAAUUUUAGAGAAAAGACCAAAAGGGAAAAAGGACUAAAUUAAGUUUUGUAAAUGAACCAGACAUGCAAAAAAGUGUCGAUGUAAAAAUAUUUUAAUAUGGAGAUUCUACAAUGUAUAAAUUAGAGAUUCUAAAACUUAUAAAUUAUAAGUUAGAAGGUGUUGCACGAGAUACUAAAACAAGUGUGAUAGACCUUGGUUUUUUUUUGAUGACAUGGAGCCCGAAGGCAAGGACAAAAAAACCUAAAAACAACAACUAAUACUAGGGUUAGGAAAAGACCGGAAUAAAUCAGCUUCCAAGAGAGGGAUAACAUCAUUAGGAGGGGAGCUAAAGAAUCUGCAUCUAGGCUCAUAACCAUGACCAAUGCUUGCUAGCAAGUCAGCCACUGAAUUACUUUCUCUGUAAACAUGGAUGAGAGACACAUUCCAAUUCCUACUAAGAAACUCCUGGCAGUUUGCUAUAAGACUGUAGAGAGGAUGAAGGUGAUCAAUAACAGAAAGGACCAAUUUGACUGCAACAAGAGAAUCUACUUCAACUUCCAAAGAGUUGCAACCAUGCUGCCAUGCCAUCUCCAUUCCUUUCAACAGUCCCCAAAGUUCAGCUUCAAGAACUUGUCCAAUGCCUAACUUGGCAGAGAAACCAUUCAACCAUUCACCUUGGUUUUUAGCAAAAGAAGACUGCUCUUUGGGCAUUUCAUUUUCAUGUUAUGGGAUGUCCUCAUUGAAGUAUUGCACUACUAGAUGAAGCACACACCUGAUAAACUCACACAUUGAUGUAACUUUUUAAUUAAUCCUCUGAGCCAUCGAUCUUUUCCAAUCCUCUUUGGCGUUACUUUGAUUUUCUUAUGAGCAUUGAACUUGCAUAUGGUAUAUAUUCUUACGUGGUUUGUGUCUAGAAAUAACAUAUGACAUUUGAAAAAAGAAAAAGAAAAAAACCCGACCUAGCCGCUCUCAAGCUUUGCUAGGGCUUCUCGAUGGCUUCCUUCGACAAAACUCCCAAAUCUCUAUCUACUAACAUGGCUGAAUCUACGUCUUUUGUUGCACUAUCCUUCGCCUAUGCUCGUGUUUCUCUUAGGGCGAGUGAUAGAUUGGUGCUUCGACACACCAUUUAGGUAUACGGUUGUUGGCGGUGAAAGCCACAUUUCCUGGCUUCAAGGGAACGAUGCCGAUGAUUGGGCGAAUCAAGGCGAGUUUAUCUUUUCACAAUUUAGGAGAUCACUUCCUCUUCUAAUUCAUCAUAUGUUCGAACAUGAUCGCAUCCUUCACGGCGGUCCUCGUUUCUAUAAGAACACAAUGUUGAAUUUGGGAGGCUUUAAUGGGGUAAGUCCGGUAGUGGAAUUUCCCCUCAAUUCAGUUAAGACAUGGGAUCGUCACAUGGUUUACCAGUUGCUUUGAGGGAAACAGAGAUCCUGAGUUGCAUUAGUUUCGAUAUUGGUAACCUCAUUAGGUUUGAUUAGAAUGCAUUACAUAGGUUGGAAGUAGAGCAAGGUCUCUGCUUGACCUUUAAUGUAUGUUUCUUGUGUGAAAACACACUACUUGAAAAACCAUGUUUCACACAGAUUAAGGAUGCGGCUAUUUCACACGGAUUACAAUGAAAAAAAGGUUUCACUCACGGUACACUUACGAAUUAGAUAUCAAUGCUCUCCCGAGGAGGGCUAAUUCUUAACUCACACAUAUUUAACAAUCCGUACGAAUAGUUGACGUGGGCCUUAUCACAUUCAACAAACUUGGUUAUUAUAUGAGAUACUCAGUCAGUGAGAACAACUCUGUAUUUUACACAGAUAUCAGUGGUAGUCCAUAAACUCUAUUUACACAAAUAAUUGUGUGAAUACAAUUAUCACAUAAAUCUGUGACAAAACUUAGACAUUGCAUUCAUAGAUGUACGUGUCGAUUUUGUUUUACCUUAAUUCACACUAAUUCGUGUGCAAUAGUGAUUGCAUUAAAAAAUAAUAUACAUGUCACUCAUAUUUCUCUGCUAUAUAUAUAUAUUUCAUACUAUUUACAUUUAAUCAAGCAAACAAAACCACAACUCCAUCCAAAAUAUAAUAUUUGACAUUCCCAUGUAGUUUACAUUCGUACCAACAUAGUUUACAUACAUACCCUACUUAAUUCUUGGAUUACAAAAACAAGGCUGCUUUUCUAGAAUACAUUGUUAUUCAAGGUGGAAAACCAAUAAGAUUUUUCUCCUAAGAACAACAUAAUCAUUGUACAAGAAUAGGUUCCAUCAAAGUAGACUAGAACAGAACCAUCAAAAUAGAUAAUGACAUCUUUAGGUGAAACUAACCAAAUUAGCAACGCUGUAAACGACGAACCGUUAGGGGCAAUUCAGGCCGAUACACAUCACUGAUGUCUAGGGUUAGGAUUACAUUUUUACUCCCUUGUGUAAGUUGUGUUGUUGGCUCUAUUUGAGGUGCCGUCUCAAUUUGUGAAAAACAAACCACUCUCAUCAUUCUAUCCAUUUCGUAUACAAAUAGUUCCCUCACCUUCUUUGUCAUAAGUGUCUCUUGCUGCCUUUUAAAGUCCUCCAUUUGUGCAGUGACUCUUUUCUCCAUCUCAAAGGCUUCAUUCCUAAUUCUCUCUUCCCUUUCAACAACUUCUUUUCUCUCUUUUUCAGCCUCAGUCUUUAAUCUUUCGGUCUCCAUGCAUUGUUCAUCAAGUUUAGCCUUCAUUGCUUCCACAAUGCUAGAAAUACUUCUUUUCUCAAUAUGAAUAUUUGGAACAUCACGCCAGCAGACUCCUGCUCCAAGUCCCUUACUCGGUUACGCUUCUCUAGCCCAAAAACUUCUGCAUAGAUAUCUUCUCUAACCUUUGGUAAUAUCAACAUUUAAUUUCUUUCUCUCCUCUUCAGCCAUUUCCAGAUCUUGCUGCAUUCAAUCAAGAAACUAUUAGUAAACUUAAAAUUUUGCUGCAUUCAAUCAACCUUCUUUCCUCUAUUGAUUCUUUUUAAAUUAAAUGUAUUAGUAUGAAAUUUAGAAGUCCGAACAUGUCAAUAAUGGUGAUUUAAGCACAGUCAUUGUUGUUGGGUGUUUCUUUACAUGAAUGUCCAUUAUUAAUUAUGUANNNNNNNNNNNNNNNNNNNNNNNNNUCUUAGUACUUUCAUAAAAUUAAAAGCAAAAUAACUACCAACUUAGUUAUUAUAAUACUCACUACUACUUUGGUAGAUGCAGCGUCCACGUAUUCAUUUGUUUUUCAUUUCUUAAUUACGUUGUGUCAACUUGAAUAUUUCUAACCUAUUAAAUUUUUCCUCAACCCCAUUCUCAACUUGCAGCAAUGUAGGUUGUUUAAAGAAUUAAAUAUCGAUGAAGUAACAUAUAACCUAUAAAUUGCGUGAUUUUUUGGGUUUGUCACAAUUUAGGUUUCGUUAAUUCGUUUGUUUUGUUUUAUUAGUUUUUUCUCUUAGUAUUAGUAGAUUUUUGUAUUAUAUGGCUGGCAUUGGCCUAGUCCUCCAGCUUAUUUUACCUUUUGUAUUUUUUCAAUAAAUUUUCGUAAGGGGACGAUAUUAGUCCCUCUACGCUUAAAAAAAAAUAAAAAUAAAAACAUAUAACCUAUAAGUUAACAUGACAACUCACCCAUUCAUACACAACUGCUGAACAAGUAUGGUUGUUUCAUGCAUAACCAAGAAGGUAGAUUGUACAUAGACAUCACAGCAGGUCAUGUACUAUGUAUAUUCCUACUCAUUCCAAAAAGACUAAAUCCAUCACUAGCUAGCCAAACCUAGGAAGACAUUAUGACAAUCGUUACCAAAAUCUAGAAACUUUUCAUUCAACUGUGUUCAAGCUGGAGAAUCGCAGGGUGUCGAAGUAUCCCAUCUUUUGUCUAAAGUUUAGAAUGCCAAGACAUAUCAUCUGCAGUAUAGCGAGACAUAUAUAAACGCUGCAAUCUAGGAGCCAAUGGAAAAUAACGUAAAGUCUUAGCAGCUUUUGGUUUUCCAUCAACUUUAUUGCCAUUUUCAUUCCUAGUUCAUCGUCGGCUAGUACCACAGUGCUCACAAACCUCCUUCCCCUAAUACAACAUAAAAUCAUUAGGACAUGUAUCAAUCUUUUCAUACAACAACCCAAUGUUCUUGAUCAAUUUUUUAGUUUUGUGAAAACUCUUCGGAAGUGUCGUACAUGUAGGAAAUGUAUCUCUCAAUAGAUCUAGAGUUUCUUCAAAGGAUGUUUCACUAUUUGAGUCCGAACCCUUAAUCUUAGAUAACCUCACUAAAAAUUUAAGCUUCUUUACUCGAGCUCCUUAAAAAAUAUGUGUCUGCAUCAUCAAGUAACUUGUAGAACUUUUGGGCAUCAACAGAGGGACCUCCAACUGCCUCUGAAGAAGAAGGCAUGGUCAUAUGAUCAUGAAACCCAAAUGCAUCUUGCAACAUAUCGGUCAUGUCAUGGUUUGGCAUAACCUGUUGUGGGGAUGAGAGACGUGUUGCUUAUUCCUCUCUCUCAAGGGCAAUUGCUCAGUGAUGUCCAAGGAAUGUAUACAUAUUCAUUCCACAUGCCUACACAACAUAUAUGGUCCUCCACAUCCUUCAAACUAUGUCUCCACCGAUUUUUACACUCUUUACAAGGACAACAUAUACAAGGACAACCCUAUUCAUUCCACAUGCCUACACAACAUAUACGGUCCUCCACAUUCUUCAAACUAUGUCUCCACCGAUUUUUACACUCUUUACAAGGACAAUAGAUUUCGCCAAGAAUAGGGAAGAUGCUUUGUGCACGGUUGAUGAACGCGCGAAGUCCCGAAAUAUAUUCAUGACUUUGUCGAUUAAGAAAAACCCAAUUUUUGUUCGUAUCCCUAAACUAAUCAACUGCUUCAAUAGAUAAUCAUUGCAAAUCAAUGUUCCAAGCUCUCAAUAUGCAUACAAAUUUUCAUAACUCUGAUAAAAUCAUACCAUUAGCACUUUUCCAUUAUUUGAAUUGUAGCAAAUUCUACUCAUAUAUGUCAUAAAUUAAUAGGCAAAUCUAUCAACCUACACCACAACCAACCAUUCAUGAUCAACAACAAACCUUCAUACACAAACCAAACUAUAUAUAUAUAUAUAUAUAUAUAUAUAUAUCCAGAGCGAAGCUUCGCUUUGAAAUUAACGUGUGAAGUUUCUUAUUGACUCACUUUUCGGACAUAUUUCCACAUCUCCACCGUUUAGUUGGUAGAACCCAAUGCAUAGAGAUCACUUAUGAAAAGUUUCAUCGAAUUUGAUAAUUAUUUGAGUUUUCAUAAUCGUUAUUUACAUAAACAGUUAUGUUUAGACAGAAUUAUGGUCCUUUUAUUGAUUUAAUCUAAUUCGGUACCUUAACAAUCAUCAAGUUGGAUAAAAUUUUGCAACAAUGAUAUAUUCAUUAGUAUCAAUAAACUGAAUGAUAGAGAUGUGAAAAUAUGACCGAAAUGUGAGCCAAAUAAGGAACUUCACAAGUUAAUUUCAAAGCGAAAGCGAAGGCGAAGGCGAAGGCGAAGGCGAAGCUUCGUUCUGGAUAUAUAGAAACUAUAUAUAUUAUAUAUAUAGGCUUUCUCAGGUAAGGAUGUCCUUAUUUAUUCUUACGGUGCGAAUUUCCACUUUAGACAAACAUUUCGUUCAAAUUUUCACAUCUCCACCAUCUAGUAUUUAGAUACUAAUGUAUAGAUCAUCUCUACAAAAUUUCAGCCAAUUUGGUUAUCAUUAAGGUACUCAAAACUGCGUUUUCUGUUAUAAANNNNNNNNNNNNNNNNNNNNNNNNNNNNNNNNNNNNNNNNNNNNNNNNNNNNNNNNNNNNNNNNNNNNNNNNNNNNNNNNNNNNNNNNNNNNNNNNNNNNNNNNNNNNNNNNNNNNNNNNNNNNNNNNNNNNNNNNNNNNNNNNNNNNNNNNNNNNNNNNNNNNNNNNNNNNNNNNNNNNNNNNNNNNNNNNNNNNNNNNNNNNNNNNNNNNNNNNNNNNNNNNNNNNNNNNNNNNNNNNNNNNNNNNNNNNNNNNNNNNNNNNNNNNNNNNNNNNNNNNNNNNNNNNNNNNNNNNNNNNNNNNNNNNNNNNNNNNNNNNNNNNNNNNNNNNNNNNNNNNNNNNNNNNNNNNNNNNUAUAUAUAUAUAUAUAUAUAAAACUAAAAGAAUGAAUAUACCAUAUAUGAAAUACAUGAUGAAAUCAUACCUGAAUUUAGAUUAAGAACUACCACAGGUCCAUUGCUUCAAGUUUUAGAAAGAAUACAUCAAUGGCGAACUGUGAUCGGGUUCUUGGUUUUAAUCAUUAUGUCACACGGACAUCUGUGAGAAAUCGAGAACAUUAUUCAUGCAUACAUACAGCUCACCUCGGUAAACCAAUUAAUGUCAUGUCAAAAUUAUUAGGUUUUUUCUUACGGAAGUUUGUGUCUAAUAUAUUUUUCACACAUAUAUAUGUGUCUAUACUUCAUAUGGUUGAAAGUGUAAUUCACAUUACACAUGGAUAUCUGUGCCAACUUACGGAAGACUGAAACCUUGUUCGUAUAGGUGAUAAUAAUUAUUUUUAAUUAUACUAACUUUUGACUGCUACAAAUAUCUAUGUGCAUUACAGUACAUGCAGCUAUCCGUGAAAAUAGUUACUAUCAUGUUUCACAUUGACACUGUUUUCCGUGUGAAUUAGUAUUUGACACAUAUUUGUUGCUGCUAUUGUUGUAUGAUGUAAUGUGGGCCUAAAAAAAAUCCUUUUAUGUAUGGUUUUUUGUAUAGCUAAGCUUUUGUCACAGAUAUCCGUGAGACUAAAGUAGUAUUAGGGGUCACCAAAAAGCCGGGCGGGGCCUCAAUCAUGUUUUCUAAAUUUUAGGACCGGGCCGGGCCGGGUUAUUCAAAAAAAUCAAAGCCCACAGGCCUGGGCCUUACGGGCUUAUUAGGGCCGGGCCGGGCUUUUUAGAUGGGCCGGGCCGGGCCGGGCCUUUUAUAUAAAUAUAUCUAAUAGAAUUUUAUCAAAAUAAACAAAAAAACUAUAAAAAAAUUAAAAUUUGUUAAUGAUUGAAGUAAAUGUAAUAAAAAUAAUAAUAAAAUAUGACUUAAUGCAUUAAUUAGUUCACAUAUUUAACUAAUAACUUCAUAAAAACAAUUGAAAGGGCUUGGAGUGGGCUUUUUAGGGCCGGGCGGGCGAGCUUUGAUUGGCAUGUAACGGGCCGGGCCGAGGCUUUCCCUUCCGCCAUAGUUCGGCCUCAUGCCCUAUGGGCCUGGCCGAGAUGGGCUUUUCUAUGGGCCGGGCCGGGCCGGGCUUUGGCCCUUCGGGCACACGGGCUUUUAGGCCCUCGGGCCAAAUGAUGACCCCUAAGUAGUAUGUGAGAAUAGAAUCCGCGUGAGAUGGUUUUUUUCUAGUAGUGAUAUGAAUGCAUUUUGAGUUCUCGUCGAUUGUUGAUCCGAAGCUCUUGCUUAUAGAGGACAAGUUCAAGGUUUAUACUGUGAGUGUGGGUUGUUUCAAGUUUCAACUUGAUGCGUAAGGUUGUGAUAUGGCUCUGGUCAAGGAGUUGUUAUGGGCAACCCACUAGUCGAGGCUUUGGCUUAGAGUUACCGGAAACACUCAACUGUCCAGCAAUCUGCGUUUCGGAUCGGACGAACCCAAUUGCGGUGCGUUCGCGACCCCGAUCGCUAAACCCAGCGUUCCCCCUGACCAUAGCAUAAUGAAGUCCUAGUUAGACUAAUUCAGAAAAACUGUAGAUGAAAUCUAGUAUUAGAAAACCCAAAGAGAGAAAUCAGGGAAUAAAUGCUGAGAUCUAUCUUGAGCAGUAUGUAGCUUUACACCAUUUUCUUGGGUUUAGCCUCCCUUCUUUCUUUUUUGUUAAUGAUUUAUCCUCUUCCUUUUCCGGAAGAGAUUAUUAUUACUUUCAAAACGAACAAAAAAGAUAAUGCUAAUUUUAUGUUAUUUAUAAGUUUACCUCUAUCCUUUCUUAAUAAUGUGGUUUCAUAGUGUUUCUAUAAGGGGUAGUGAUGUAAAAAUGAUUUAUCAUAUGUAGUUUAUUUUUAAUUAAAUAUUAACUAUAUAUCCUAACGUACCGCGUUUUUAAAUACUAACGUAUCGCGUACCCGUACCGCAACGUUCCACAUUUCUGGCAACAUUGCUUUGGCUGGUCUAAUGUUGGCGUCAAAGAUGAGGCCUGUGAGGAAAGAAGGAACUAAGGUGGUGCUACCGGUCCCAUUCGAACAUGUGGUAUUUGAAUCUCAUGUUAUCGUUGAGGUUGAAAAUGUGGUGGUUGCUAGGGAAAUGAUUGAGACUAUAGUGAUUACAAAUGUUGUGGAUGAAGUUGUAGCGGUGGAUGUAUGCAUGGAACCAGUAGUUAUUGUGGUUCAUCCUGAAACGCAGCCUUUGAUAAGGUAGUUGACAACUUCAUUUUGUUGACGAAGGUCGACGUAGAGAGUAUCUGAUCCUCGGAGUUUGGUAAUAAGUCUCUCUCUUCCUAUGCUUCGAGCUGCUUUUAGAAGGUGCUGAGUAAUAAAACUGAGGCAUGUGAGACUACCAGUGCUUAAUUGGUGAUAAAGAUGGAAUUUGAACAAACUUGUGUUCCUAAUUUGGAACUACUGAAGUGACCUUUGGAGAAAGCCCUUGCUGAAGCCAGCAGUUUUACAGGAGGUUCACAUGAUUGUGGCUGUCGUUUCAGGCUCUCGUGUUCCUUCUUCAAGAUGUUUAAAGAUUUUGUUUCGGGAAGAAAUUUAUGCAAGUUUUGAAUGCAAGUAAACGCAUUGCUUAGUGGUGUUCAAAGUUCAGAAGUAUCAGGACUAUGAUUUCUUCUCAAAAAAAAAAAAAAUUGGUUUAAUGAUUUCUUGCCAUUUUCAGUUGCAUUUUCUUGGAUAGAUUUUGCUGGUAAUUGCCNNNNNNNNNNNNNNNNNNNNGGAUAGAUUUUGCUGGUAAUUGCCAAACUCGUUUUCCCAAAGGGAAAUCCUAUUCCAAGUGUCAAGGCUGCUAGUUAUUAUAGAAUAGACACAUUCUUGAUCAGUUGAUGUGCAUAUGUGCAGGAUGACUAUCUUGGUGAACUGCAGGCAGUAUCUUCAAAGAUCAGUAUGUAUAUGACUGGCCCUUUGAAGUCUACAUCACAGGUGAACUAGUGAAAGUGAAGUUUAAAGCUCGCUUUUUUUUUUUCCUUUUUUGAGAAGGAAGCUGAAAGCUCGCUUGAAUGCAAAUGGGAUUGUGUCUAUAGACUAUAGAGUUGGCAAGUGUUUUGGAAGAGAAAGAAGUUCAUGGGGUUCUAAAGGUAACAAAAGUACGUGUGCCAUUAGUUUUCUGAGGAAUGACUGAAGCAGAUGUGCAAAAGGCCAGUAAGAAAGAGUUUGAGAUGGCUUCACAAGAUCGACUAUCAGAGACUUGAGCAUCAUGGAAUAUAAAUGAAACUUAUUGAGACUUCUAAGGAAUAUAAUCCCAGUUAGUCAUGUUUUCAUUAUCUACAUUGAUGUAAUUGAUUGUAUAGCACAUUCCUUGUCGAUAAAUUAGCUAGAAUAGCUAGAAUCAAGGAGAUAACUCCUCCUCCGGUCCCUUUCUGUAUAUAUGUUGUACUCGAUGAUAUGAUCAAUACAACAAAGUAUUCUAAACCAAUAUCAUUCUUAUUAUGGUAUCAGAGCCAACGCGCUCUUGAAAUCCCCACCAAACACAAAAACUCUAAAUCCAAAUCCUUGUCGAAAACAUGACAGGAGAAGAACGAAAAGCCGAUGCAAAUUCAUCAUCGAAGGCUCCGGCAUGGGAAAACAUCAAUCAUCCUCUAUACAUCCAUCACUCGGAUCAACCAGGAGCAAUUCUUGUUCCACAAUCACUCGAGAAAGACAAUUUCAGUGCCUGGAUCGAUAGCAUGAAAGCGGCACUCCAAAUCAAAAACAAAAUAGGGUUAGUUGAUGGAACUCUAACCAAACCCGUGAAGAAUCCGGAUGAGCAAAAUCAAUGGAACCGAUGCAACAUCCUUGUCAAAACAUGGCUGCUUGGAUCAAUGUCAAAGGAUAUUUCAAAGAGCUUUUCUCAUUGCAAGGACGCAAGGACCGUGUGGCUUGAAUUGUACGAAAGGUUUGGACAAACUAAUACCGUUCAACUUUUCCAUAUUGAGAAUGCUAUACAUGAUUGCGUACAAGGCUCCUCUUCGGUUACAUCCUUCUUCACCCAACUCAAAAGCCUUUGGGAUGAGAAGGAGGCACUCUGCAAUUUUCCUGGUUGUGUUUGUGAUGCAGGAAAUGAGUUGAAGUCUUAUAUUGAGACACAGAAGAUCAUGAAGUUUUUAAUGGGUUUGAAUGAUGAAUUUGCCACAAGCCGAAGCAACAUAAUUGGCAUGGAUCCCCUGCCUUCAUUGAACAAAGCCUAUUCUAUGGCUCUCAGGCAUGAAAAGCAGGUUGCUGUUUCAGCAAACAAGGCAGCGCUCCAUCCUUCUGAGUCCACUGCUUUCUACGCGCAGCAGCAGCGUGGCAAUAUGACCCCGAGCGAGCCCCUUGCAUCGCGUCAUGCAGCACACCAAUCUGAUUUAGCAGUGCGUGCACAAGAGCCUCUGGUUAAACCUUUUGCAGGUCAUGCGCGUAAAACAGCGCGUUCUUCAAGCAAUUAUGACUGGAAGCAGGGAUGUGAAAAAUGCAACAGGACCAAUCAUUCAACUGAGAAUGGCCCAUCUACGUUGUACAAUUUGCAACUGGAAAGGGCACACUUCUAAAACAUGCCGACAGCUCCUACGUUGCUCAUACUGCAAUUUCAAAGGACAUACUUAUGACGAAUGUCGCAAAAGAGAAGCUCCUCAAUCUGGAGAAGGAAGCAGCCGUGCUAAUCACAUCUUGGCAGCCUCUAUAGGGUCUGCCUCCUUUCCAUUCUCACAAGAAGAAUGUGCUCGAUUGAGAGAGAUUUUGGAUAGCAAUCAGGCCUCAACUCAAGCUGGUAACAUUGCCAAUUAUGAGGAACUGGUAAGGCUGCCUCUCUCGCCAAUACUUGUUGUCAUUCACCAAUAUGGCUUCUAAACAGUGGUGCAAGUGAUCAUAUUAUCUGUGAUGACAAAUUUCUUACUUCAAAACAAUUGGUCAUGAAUUAUACUAUGCGACUCCCAUCUGGUUCAUCUGUUCUUGUUACAUACAUUGGAACUGUGUUAUUUUCAUCUCACUUAAAGCAUGAGAAAGUGUUAUGCGUGGCCUCCUUUUAUCUGAACCUAAUAUCUGUGAGCAAAUUGGCUCGUGAUUCAUUAUAUGUAACCAUCUUUCUGAGGCAAAUUUGUAUUGUGCAGGACCUACGAUCGGGGAGGAUGAUUGGGACAGGGACUGAGAAGGAGGGAGUCUAUUGCCUUGAUUAUCACCAGAAAGGAACGUGCAAUGUGGCUCAAGUUCAAAUGCAAAAUCUUUGGCACCAAAGGCUGGGUCACCCAUCACAACGAGUGUUGUCAUUAUUUUCUUUUUCCAAAAACUUUUCUGCACCAAAUAAUUGUUUGAUUUGUCCUCUGGCCAAACAAACUAGACAACCAUUUUCUUUAAGUACUACUUCUAGUAAAGAUUGUUUUGAAUUGAUUCAUGUUGAUAUUUGGGGAGGUUAUCAUGUUCCUUCACUCACUGGUGCACAAUAUUUCUUGACCCUUGUUGAUGAUUAUUCAUGGGCUACCUGGGUCUCUCUCAUGAAACAGAAAUCUGAAACACGUCAACUUCUUGUUAGUUUUGUUCAUUUGGUCGAAACACAGUUUGAUAAACGUGUCAAAGUCAUCAGGAGUGAUAAUGGUCCCGAGUUUUCUAUGCAUGAAUUUUAUGGGUCAAAGGGUAUUGAACAUCAAACCACAUGUGUCAAUAAUCCCCAACAGAAUAGGGUUGCUGAAAGAAAGCAUCGUCACCUCUUAAAUGUGGCUCGUGCUCUUCUUUUUCAAGCCAAUUUACCAAAAAGGUUUUGGGGUGAUGCCAUCUUAACGGCCAGUUAUCUCAUAAAUCGAACAUCGACUCCACUCUUAAAUGGCAAAACCUCUUUUGAAUGCCUUUUCUCAAAAGAACUGACAUAUGAUCAUCUUAGAGUUUUUGGGUGUCGAUGUUUUGUUUCCACACAUCCCUCCAAGCCAAGCAAAUUCGAUCCCAGGUCAGUUGAAUGUGUUUUCUUAGGUUAUCCUCAUGGUAAAAAGGGUUAUCGAGUUUAUGAUGUCAAAGGAAAGAAAAUUCUCUUUUCUCGUGAUGUUAUUUUUUUUAGUCUGAUUUUCCCUAUUGAAACCAAAUCUCAAAUUCUCCUACUUUCUCUCCACAAUCAAAUCCUGAUCCUCCUAUUUCUUCUUCUCAAACUGAUCCACUCUUUCGUUCCUUUGAUUAUGGGGAAUCAAAUCAUGCACAGGAAAAUCUCAAUUAUGCCGAAAUACAUUCUUCUCCCCAUCUCAUUAAGAGUUCACCCGAAAACCCUACUACCAUAUCCACUGAUAUUACUGCCUCAUCCAUCGAUAAUUUUUCCAAUCCUAUUCUUCUGUCAUCUUCAAUUCAUCCAAAUUCUUCGGUCAAUCCCAACUCUUCCGCUACCAAUCAAUCUGAUCAAAACAUUUCUCUCUUCAAACAUAUCUUUUCCUUCACAAAACACAUCUUCCUCGUCCGAUAUUUCUACUCCUCCAUCUCAACCUCCACAACAACGUUCUACUCGGACUACACGAACAUCCAGCCUAUUGCAAGACUUUCACAUCGAGGCAACUCUCCCCUCACGUAGUGUUCCACCAUCUUCACGGACCGAGGUCUCAAGUAUGGUUCAUUCCAUCUCAAAUGUGUUGUCUUGUAAUAGACUAUCUCCUACACAUUAAGCCUUUAUUGCUGCACUAACUAUGCACCGCGAGCCUACAUCCUUUUCACAAGAAGUUGUUGAUCCUAAAUGGCGUCAGGCCAUGCAAGAUGAAAUUCGUGCAUUGCAAGCUAAUUGCACUUUGAGCCUUGUAACACCACCAACAAAUAAACGUCCUAUCGGCUGCAAAUGGGUGUUCAAAAUCAAAUACAAUCCGGACGGUAGUGUGGAACGAUAUAAAGCUCGCCUUGUUGCUAAAGGCUACAGUCAGGUUGAAAGCAUUGAUUACCGUGAGACUUUUGCGCCUGUUGCCAAGCUAACCACAGUCAGAAUUCUUCUUAGUUUGUCCUCACUCCAAGGUUGGCAUCUUCACCAACUUGACAUCAGCAAUGCUUUCUUACAUGGAGAUCUAUAUGAGGAUGUGUACAUGCAACUUUCUCCUGGUUUUGGAGGAAAGGGGGAGACACGAGUUUGCAAAUUACACAAGUCGUUGUAUGGACUUAAACAAGCAUCAAGAUAAUGGUUCAUCAAAUUGUCCAAUGCUCUCAUGGAAGCUGGUUUCCACCAAUCUUGGUCAGAUUAUUCUUUAUUUACCAGAAAUCAUAAAGGUCACUUUACUGUUCUAUUGGUAUAUGUUGAUGAUAUCAUUCUAGCAGGAAGCCAUCUUGAUGAUAUAAUAAGUGUGAAAAGUUAUUUAUCUGAUAAAUUCAAGGUGAGAGAUAUGGGAGUAUUGAAAUACUUUCUUGGCAUAGAAGUUGCUCGUUCCAAGCAGAGAAUUGUUCUAAGCCAACGAAAAUAUGCAUUGGAGAUACUAGAAGAUUCAAGUUUUCUUGGAGCUAAGCCUACUACUUUUCCUAUCGAGUAUAAUAGCACUCUCACACGAGGAGAAGGAAAGUUACUGUCUGAUCCAUCACAAUAUCGACGAUUGGUAGGAAGGCUAAUAUAUCUCACCAUCACAAGACCAGACAUUGUGUAUGGGGUUCAUAUUCUCAGUCAAUUCAUGGACAAGCCAAGAGAACCACAUUUAGAAGCUGCACAUAAGGUGCUUCGGUAUCUAAAACAAACGCCGAGGCAGGGUCUACUUCUACCAUCCAGAGGAACACUACAAUUAAGGGCCUAUUGUGAUGCAGAUUGGGCUAGAUGCAAGGACACCAGAAGGUCAGUCACUGGCUAUUGUAUUUUUCUUGGUGAUGCAUUUAUAUCUUGGAAAACAAAGAAGCAACUACGGUGUCUAGAUCCAGUGCAGGAGCCGAGUACAGGUCUAUGGCCUCUACUUGUUGUGAGAUUACAUGGUUGCAAAACAUCUUGAAAGACUUAAAUGUCAAAGGUAUGCAACAAACAUUACUAUUUUGUGACAAUCAAGCUGCCCUCUAUAUAGCAUCCAAUCCUGUUUUCCAUGAACGCACAAAACAUAUUGAGAUUGAUUGUCAUGUUGUGCGUGAAAAGAUCCAAAGAGGACUUGUUAAGGCUGCCCAUAUUCGAACAUCAGAACAACCUGCUGAUAUGUUCACCAAACCGCUGCAUCCUAAACAAUUCAUAAAGUUGUUAAGCAAGUUAAGUGUAAUCAAUAUACACUCUAACUUGAGGGGGAGUAUUGAGACUUCUAAGGAAUAUAAUCCCAGUUAGUAAUGUUUUCAUUAUCUACAUUGAUGUAAUUGAUUGUACAGCACAUUCCUUGUCGAUAGAUUAGCUAAAAUAGCUAGAAUCAAGGAGAUAACUCCUCCUCCCUUUCUGUAUAUAUGUUGUACUCGAUGAUAUGAUCAAUACAACAAAGUAUUCUAGACCAAUAUCAUUCCUAUUAAAACUUGUAUCCUAUAUGCUUCAGUUCGAUUUGAUUCGGUUGCACUUAUCUUUCGCAGUCUUCUACAUAUGAUCUGUAUAAUACAAACUUUGUUGCAUUAUGAAGUGAAAGAACGCAAUUUUCUUCCUCUGCAAGCAAGAAAGACUAUGAUUAGCAUGCAUUAAACUGCAAAUGAGGCAUCCGGACCAAUUGAGCUUAGCCGUAAACUUAUAAUACUUGACUCCGAGUUAUCUUCUCUAUGAAUCCUCAACACAUAUAUUGAGCUAGCACAGCUAUCUUACAUUUACUUAAGCAUGCUAGCUACCAAUGUCCCCUCAAACAUAAUGAUUGUGUAUAAUGGUAAAUGGAUUAUACGUAAUGAUGAACUCCAAUUCCACAUUUGCUUUAGAAUUUUAUGCUACUAGUCAUGAUAAAAAUGGGAACAUAGGGAGCACAUUGUCAACAAAAUAUAGAUAUACCAACCUUCUCUAGCAUCUCAACCCCAUUAUUUAUACACAAGAAACACUUCAUUUAAUUGUCAAGUUGCAAGUUGCAUAUAUAUCAUCUUUCCGGCUUACUAAAGCCAAGCAAGUCGCUUUCAUUCCUGGUGCUCUUCACGUGGUAUAACCAAAGCUUAGCAGUUAGCACUAUCAAAUCACAAAAAUCAUCCGAUGCUUGUUCAUAAUUUUAGUUAGAGAUUUUUGUUUACGGUUUAACACGGUGAAGAUAGAUAUAAACAAUUGUUUGGGGGGGGGGGGGGGUUUGGGACCGCUACUGUUUGCAUACCACACCUUAUUGGCAAAUAAUUCUUCAAUAAACAUGUAAACAAAACGGGCGCGAAUGAUAGUAUAAAAUGACCGUUAUAUUAUAUUAGACGUUUUUCUCAUACAAUAUCACCAGCAGAUAUUGAAUCAAUUAUAACUAGUUGAUCAAUCAAAAAUCAAAUACACAAUAUAUAGACGCUCAAUCACAAGUAAGCCAUGUGGUUUUUAACUUCCUGUGUUGAGUCUUAAGAGGAGACUGAAGAAGAUUUUCAUCUUGUAAAAUUGUGUCUUUCUCAUCACGUCAAUUAAAGAAUAACAUACAGUGCAACAUACAGUGCAACAUACACGUCAAUUCCAGGAUUGACUAAUUCAUACUAAGCAUAGCGACAAUGAUCAAGCGGUUCUUCAUUUUCCAAAUCACUGUAACAUAAUUUGAGCUACUGCAAUAACGUCGUAAGAUAUAUUUGGAACACUUUUCUACAAGUUCUAUAAGAAUUUUUUUUUUUUUGUAAAAGUACACGUUCUAUUAGAUUGUACCAACUGUAUUAGCUCAGAAAGUGCUAUAGGGUGUGGAUAUACCGUAUACGAGUAUGAUACAAAUCUGUAUCAAAUCCAAUUUGAAUUAUUCAAAUGAAAAAGAAAAUUUCAAAAACGCAGGGAGCAAAGUCAGAAGAUGUUGAUGUGGUAUACCCAAAAAAAAAAACAUGUCAGAAGAUGUUGACAAAAAUAGCCAACGGGAUUCAGCCACGUCGCAUACCCUAACAUGCACAUCAAUUCCAAAGCCCACGUUGACUAACUGGCCUCUCACAUUAACGCCAAUCACAUGCGGACCGCUACACAGUCCUACUGCUACGCCGCCACCUCAACCAACCACUCAUUAAAUUUUGCGGCAGUCCCCAUAAUUAUAUGUAAUUAUUAGAGAUUCCACAGCCCGAAGAAGAUGGUUAUUACCAUAUAAGGAAAUUUCGAGUGUCAUCUUCAAUUCUUAACCUUAACCCAAAAUAGUAAAAGAGAAACAGUUAAAACAGUUAGGUCGUACCAAGAGAGAAAUGCACCUCUUCGUUUUCUACCCGUCUCAGAGCUUUCACGAAUUCUGGACCAUUUCUGGUCGUUGUAUGUUUUUUUUUUUUUUUUUUUUUUUCUUGAGAGGGCUCAGGUCAUUUUCUUAAUUUUUGUUGUAUUCACGCAUUUCAUUCUCAAUUACCACCACCGUAUUCACGAAUUUCACAUGUAUCAUGACUUAAUCACUUAAAAAUUGUGUUGUGUUUUGCCUAACGGAUUAGUCAUUAGACUUAAUAAGCUUUUAAGAUACCGCAAUCUUAAAUAUAAAAAAUAAAAAAUAAAAAACGGUAAGAAAAAUAAAAUGGACAAAUUAUGAUUGCCUAACACAAUGACUCCAACAUAUAUAAACACACCCACUUGGUACAACCUUAUUAUUACUAAUGUCUUUUUUUUUUGCGUCAAUAUAAAUAGAGAAAUUUUAUCCACACAUCCUUAAAUACUUGAUACACAUACCUUACUUAAUUGACCACUAAUCUUAUUUCUUGUUUAAUCAAUUUACUAGAUACACCACCCCAAACUACCAAUUCUACCCACAGACUUCAUAAUAUAAACAAAUAUCAAAAUUAUUGAGUUUGAUUUUUAUUUUUUUUAUCUUAUCAAUCACGAAAGCUAGCUAGCUUGUAUAUCAUAAUCAUAUUGCAUAUGUUUUGUUUAUCAAGAUAAACACAAUGAUUCUUUUAUCUUUUCUUCUUUCAAUUGAUCAUCAUGAAACAAUUCUUCUAAAAUGUAUAUAUCAUGAAACAACACGUACAAACAUAUGAAGGAAAUUUCAACUAGGGGUUAUAUAUAUGGUAUUCUUGUUUGUAGAAGGAUAUGCCCAUUAUUGUUUAUAUCAAAAUGAUUUUCAUAUGAAUAGUAUGAAUACGAACAAUCAUAAGAAACCUCAAUGUACGAUUCGGUAGUUAACUUAGAGUUUUUCAACUUGAUCUAUAACAAAAUUAAUUUUCUAAUUAAAUUUCUUAUUCCAGUAUGUAUGACUUUUUAGUCAUUUUGAUUACCCCUAAAAUAUAAUUUUAAAUGUUGAAAGAUUAGGGUGUGUAUUAAGUAUUUAGAAAUGUGUGGAUAAAAUUUCUCAUAUAAAUGAUUUUCGUCCCAAAGAGACAGACAAGUGAUAAGGACGGGGGAGUGGAAGCUGCUGAGAUUCUGAUACUAUUAUUAGUAAAAAUCAACUGCCAACCUCGUGAAAUAUGUCAGUUCCUUCACUUCAUUGAAACUUGCUCAGCAUCACCCUUCUUCUUAUACUCUCUUUUCCGGUCAGUACACCAAACCUUGAGACAUUGUUUCUUUUACCAUAUAUAUAUAUAAAUUAAAUGUCUUAACCCAAAUUCAGUGGAUGCUGCAUUGUGAUUGAUCAGCACUUUCUUUUUGUGAGAAAAGAUGUGAUUAGCACUUGUAGGACAGAAGCCCAUUUUUAGCAAAAAGCUAAAAGCAUAGAUUCCAAUCUCCUCUAGGAAAAUUUUUAGUGAACAUUAGACAAGUGUAGGUAUGAUCCAUCACUUGGUAUCAUUUGGUUUGGUAAUAUAUAAUAAUUUGAUUUAGUUAUAUAAGUAUUGUAGUUAUAAAUUCUCAAUUGUCGAUAAAAGACAAAAACAAAAUGAGAAAAACAAAGAGAAUGAGAUUGGUUUAGUUAAAACAUGCUAGACUUCGAUUAGUACAUUGGAGAACACUCAUUGGUCGUUGAAUUUCAAUUAAUCACAUCAGGUCAUUCAAAAGACAAAUGUAUUUUGCAAAAACUAAAAUUUCAAGGCAGAAAGAAUGCAAUGACACAUUUGGAGUCUUGAGUUGCUACCCAAAUUGCUGAACCCAAAAUAUUCACAUGCAAAUCCUCAACUGUACACACAUUGACUGAACAGCCCCUCACAAUCCCCGUAUGCCCCAAACCACAGCAUUCCGGUCAAUCCAUUAAAACCAAGGACAUUUUCGUCAUUCAAACAACUAAAAAUAACCACACAGAGAGAGAGAGAGAGAGAGAGAGAGAGGAGGAGAUACAAAAUAGAAACAAACGCCAAAAUAAAACUGCCAUUUUUGUUUUAACACAGAAACUCAGACCUGGGAGUUAGCGUCACCGUCACGG